This 51226-nucleotide long non-coding RNA is filed under the name Ananas comosus (pineapple). RNAcentral's name for it is "long non-coding RNA (ACOM_LNC000511)". Lineage: Eukaryota; Viridiplantae; Streptophyta; Magnoliopsida; Poales; Bromeliaceae. The record is from RNAcentral.
AAAAAAAAAAAAAAAAAAAAAAAAAAAAAAAAAAAAAACUGAGGGACAGUUUUAUCGAUAUUAUUAUUUGGAACUAACUUGCAGGUGGGAAAGCAUUUCUCAUGUAAAAUCAACAAAAAAAAUAGCAGUUGUUAGAGGGUUAUGCCUAGCCGACGUUAAUUCAAUUUUGUUUGCUUACUCUUUUCUUCCCACGAAAAAAAGAAAAAAAAAACUUUGUUUGCUUACAUCUGCUGGCCUUAUUGCUGUUUUUUUAUUAGAGCUAAUUGCAUAUAAGUCCCUGUAAAUAUAGUAAAUCAUAGAUAUGUUGUCAUGCCCCAGAUUAUCGCGUUUCCCCGAGCGUGCCAACAGACCUGCCGUAUACAAAAAAAAUUUUUCUGUAUACGAAGCGAUAGCUGUACCUGUGUAAGGACUGAGAUUUUUACGGUGCAACUAAACUCUCUGUUGAUGAUGUUUAUGUGUGUAACUUAAUUACAUAAGCACUCAUCAAGUUUCAGGAGAAAAUGAGCUAGAACGGAGAAGUUACGCGAUUAUUAGUUUUCACUUAAAGUGAAUAGUAACCCGAUUUUCCGGAGAAGCUACAGAGUAGAGUUGGCUUUCGGCAUGUAUCGGACUCUGUUCAUAGUGAUCCAGUAGCUCGUUUCGAUCGGUUCAGCUAUUCUGGAACCAAUGGCACUGACGGAUUUCAGAUCCGAUGACGGUUUUCGAGAAAAAGGAGUUUUAACAAAAAGAGAAUUUCCGCUCCUUGCUAUUCGUGCAUUUUAAAACUCCUCGUGCUUUGUACAAGUGAUCUGGAGAUGGGUGAGAGAUGUUUCAAGUACCUACUGGUGGUAGGGAAUUCAAAUACGAGUUUGAAUUAAAGGAUUUCGGGUUUCCACCAAGGCCUAUGUGUGAUAUAUGGAUUAGUUGGAGAGAGGUCGGAUUUUGUUACAAAUCAGCAAGUAAAUCGGAUGAAACGAAAUCGUAGCUUCGAUGCCCUCGUCAUGCUGAACGCGAUGGCUCUGUCGGAUCGAAAAUCCGACGGACGGAUUUUCGGGAAACGCGAAAUGUUCGCUGAGGGGUCGAAUUGGCAAAAUUGGAAACUUCGCAAAAGUCAUUGUAUUUUAUGUGCCGAAUCGCGUGAGAUCGGACAUAGAGGUGCGUAUGUGUAAAAUACGCGCGCUGUGAGGGACUUGACUGAGAAUAUUACCCCUGGGAGGACUAUUUUGCAAAAUGCACAUAUGUGUAUAGUGGUUGCACUAGGGUUUCAUGAGGAAACCCUAGCUUUUGGCCUCCCUCUUCCUCAACCGAACCCCAGCCGCCUUAGCUCUCCCCUGCCCACCUCGUGCGCGUGCCCCGACCGCCGGCAGGUGCUCCGACCGCCGGAAAACCCUUCCUCCAUCACUUCUUUACCUAUUCUCCACCCUCCUCGGCCAUGCAACCCAGAGGAACUUCAAACACCUUUGGAAGCCUUCCCUUGGCCGAGAUCCACCCUCCGGCGCCGUCACCGGCCGUUCCCACCGCCUGCGCACGCCGCCGACGCCGCCCAAGCAUGCUGCGCCUACCCCUCAGUCAGCCCAGAACACACUCGGUGGGCUCGAGGCCGAGCAUCGCCGCCACUCCAAUCCGCCCAGCGACGUCAUCCUCCGGCUCCGGCGACAUCCCGCUGCCGCCGCCCGCCGCCCCCCGCCGUCCCGGAACGCCGACGAGCACCCUAGCUCCUUGCAGCCAACCGCAGAUCACCACAGAUCGAGCCUGGGUGAUCUCGGCAUCCACGUGCGCCCGCCGCUCCUCGCCGCAGUGCGGCCCUACAGACAUCGCUCGCGCGACCCGGCGCGCAGCGUCCCUGCCAUCCCCCGCGCCGCCGGCCGCCGCUGGAACCUUCUGUGGCCGCCCAGACCCGUGCGGGCCGGUCGGACCGCUCGGCUUCCAAGCGCCGCCGCCGCCCACCGGCCUCGGCCUCCGGCCCGGAUCGUCGCCGCCCCGACUCCUCCGGCCACCGCCUGGCGACGCGCCGGGAACUCGACGUACUGAGAGGAGUGGGCGGAGUCGAUCUCCUCCGCCGCGCCACCGGUUGCAGCCCGCCGCCGGCCAGCACCCUCCCCGGACCUCUCGGACCGGCUGCUCCCAUCCCUGGCCGGAGUGCCCGCCUCCCGGCCGCCGGCGACCAAUCCUAGCUCCCACUGCUCCGGUGUGCUGUUUCUGAGUUCCAGCAUUGUUGUUUAAGCUUUCCGGCCACGUUUCCGGUGAUCCGAGGACUCCCCGACACCCUGGGAAGUGAGCACGAUGAUCUACAACUCGUGCUAAACAUCGUGCUCACCUCCGACAGCGGCAAAGAUGCCCUGGUUAGUGAGUUAGUCGCGAUCUUCGUGCUGUGCGAGCAGUUUAACAGAUCUUCACAUCGCUCGUACGCGCACCGCAGUGGCCGGCAGUGCUCCGAAAGGUGAGCACGACCUCCGUCAUGCUGAAACCUAUCAGCGAGCGCGAUGAUUCGCUUAAUCGACUUCUGGUUUACGUGCACGGUCCAGAAAAGCCUAGAAAUCACAUGAAAUAAUGCGAUUUCAUGUAUCGGUGUGGGCUUUUAGGACUUUUGCUUUGAUGUAGCUGCUGUUGGCAGCAUGUUUGGGCUGAGGAUAACCUCUGAACUAAUCGUCCAAGGCCCCAAGCCCUCGCGGAAAUCGAAAAGUGAUUUUCGGAGUGUUUUUCGGCGAAGUCAGCCGAUAGAACGCGUUUUCGAUUCGGAAUUCUUCCGACGGUACUUGGGGAUGAUUUAUUGUGUCGCUGAGCCUAGUUGGCUGGUCACCCGCAUCGUUUUGUGGGUUCGAAAACGACAGGUGAGCGACAGUAAAGUUCCGGUACGGUUUUCGAAACUUCCGGCAUGUUCGGUAAUCGGUUUUGGGAAACCGGUUCUCGUGGUUUUGGUGAGUGGGGAUUGUGUGUUAGCGAGACAUGUUAGUGGGUUAGAUUCUAACCCGUUGGACCUUUCGUAGGUUUGAUUGUUUCGUCUUCACAGUCGAGAGAUCUUCGUCAGACACGUACAGGUGGGUACUUCGAUCCGAUGUCGGUACAGUGGUGCACGUUCGGUGAUGGUUUCUUACCCUUGCCCUCUUACUAUUAUCUGUGUGCGUAUACAUAUUGAGCCUUUCACCCAUAUUAUUUCCAUAUUUACUCUACUCGGUUGUUUCCAUGUUUAGUAUCUUGUGUAGGAGUAGAGUAGAUUUCAUCAGCAUAUGAUAUCUGUGACAUGAUUGGUCGAGUUCAUAUCCUAUAUCUGUGACAUGAUUGGUCGAGUUCAUAUCCUAUACUUGUGACAUGAUUGGUCGAGUUUCAUAUCCUAUACUUGUGACGUGAUUGGUCGAGUUUCAUAUCCUAUACUUGUGACAUGAUUGGUCGAGUUUCAUAUCCUAUACUUAUGACCUAUUCGGUCAAGUUGCUACAGUUCUAUCUUGACAUACGUAGCCGACUAGUUGCUGAUGGCUUAUACGGUCGGUGUGCCCUGAGGGGCUGGAUUGUCGGCUAGUUGCCGAUGGAAGAUCUUUGAGCAUACUACAUUGAUCGCCACUACAGGUACGCAUUUCACGAACACCAGCGGUCUGAUCCACCGCAAGAGGGUGUUCUUUUCCGGAAAAGUGGUUGGAUUGCCAACCCGUGAGCCCAGGGGCUUUAUUGCGAGGGUAUAUGCUUCUGACCCAGGGGCUUCAUUGCGAGGGUCAGGUACUGUGCUUCUGACCCAGGGGCUUCAUUGCGAGGGUCAGGUACAGGUUGAGCAGUGUGGCAUGGGCCUGAGGUCUUCGGACCAAUAGGGCAGCGAGAUUGGGUACUUUUGAGGUUAUCGUCAGUUGACGCAUGCAUACAGUAGCUGUAGUGUUUAUUUCCAGUACAUCCUUAUCUGUUUAUUGUAGCUACUGUUUUAUUUACCUGCAUCUAUACUUGUCAGCUCCUUACUUAUCAGCAUCUUUACUUACCAGCACUUAUGUCUAUCUAGUUCUCCGUGUUGUUGUAUAGCUCUCUUCCUGAUCCGGUGAGUACUCCUCGCCUUCUUCGGCUUGCGGUACCCACUGGGAGGGGAGACAUGUUUACAUGUUCUCACCUCCCCCACCAUUUUUCAGGUAUCGCGGGCGAUGAGUAGUGGGACGAGACGUGAGGUACGUGUGUAGCGGUCGAUAGAGCUUCCGACCCAGGUUAUUUCGAUUUAGUUAUUAUCCUUGGUAUUUCUGUUGAUAUAUAGUUUAGUUGGUUUAUGUGGUUCAGUAUUUAUUUACAUUUGAAAAUGUGGAUUUCUGGAUUUUGUAAAAUAAAAGGUUUUCUACCCCUCGUGGUAGCGUUUUUAAAAGAUAAAAGUUUCCGUGUAGGGAACAGUUUUCAAAAGGUUUUCUGUAGAUUUUGUAUCUUAGUAUUUCAAAACCUGUUUCUGAGUUGGAAACAUUUAACUGAUAGAUAUGGAUUUAUGUUUAAAUAUUGAAUAUAUAAAUGUGAACCUGUGAUGUGAAUGGUGUAUGGAUAUAUAUAAUUGUUGGUUAUUUGUAUAUUCAUUUGGUUGUGGUUGUACCUGGGUUGCUUCUUGUACUUGUGCGACGUUGUGCAAAUACAGGGGAGACUCUGUCCGUGUGCACAGUGAAUUUCCUGUAUUUGUGGCGGAUCUGGCAUACUCUGGGGUCAGGUUUUCAAAAAAAAAAAAAAAAAAAUUUAGACGCUUUUCCACUAUCUUUUAAACUGAAAGGGACCUCGGGGCGUGACAACCUGUAAACGAAAACAAGCUACAACCACAAGGUAAGAGCUGCUAGACUGAAAAUAGCAUAUAUAUAAAACCUCGAGGGGUUCCAGUACAUACAAAAUGUCUAUUACACCACUCGCUUGAGCGAGUAUCGAGACAACAACCAUAUGUAUAUAAAUACCCCAAAAUUACCUGUGAGAGGUACUCCUCUAGCACUACAACAAGACUGGAAAAAAUCUAGCUCGCAACUCCCUUUCCACGAUCAGAAUCGGCGACAGCAGCAGCCGCAGAAGAAGGCUCUUCAAAAAGGGGUCAACAACAGGGUGUGAGAACUACUGUAAAAAGGAGUAGUCCUCAGUGGGUACCGCUACAGAUCUCAACGGCUCACCCACUAAGUCUACAGAAAGUAUGUAUAAGGAUAGUAAAGAAUGCUGGUAAAACUCUACAGCUAUAUACCACUAUACUAUCGCUAACCGACACUAGCUAUCUGUAGAUAUAAGAAUGCCAUCUUUGACCCAAUCUCACUAGGGACUGUGAACGCACCCGUCCCGCCUAUCGAAGCUACACCAACCACCACCACGCUGGGUUGUCGGUGGAGAGCAAAUCCAACCCGGACAUUAGACAUCAACGCAAACACACAAAGCCAGACUCUGGAGUGGCACCCGUGAGCGCUACCCAAACAAGUAUGUAAGCAUGUCUUUGCCGAGCUCAAUCAAGCUCUCACAGGCUAUAAUCAACACAACUAAGUCUAACUGGUCUAACAACCAAAUCUCACGUGUUCUUGGCACAAUCUGAUACAAAAUACAAAAAUCUGGGUCCACCGUCAACCACGACGGCACCCGACGGUCCGAAACAAUUUAUACACUACUGUAAAAUAAUUUCGGCAUCCCAGCACGAGCAUAAACUCAUCCUACACUAAUCUGGGUAUCCACCGCAUACAAACAGCGACGAUACAGACGAACCACAGCUCCUAAAGUUAAAUAUGGUAAUUUUCAGAAAUAACAGUGUAGAAUCUAUAUAUUUUCUCCUAAGUCAAUUUCAAGUCUAAUAUGUAAAAUUAUAAUUCUAGCUUAACUCCAAAUUCAGAUUUUAUCUCUAAUCCAUGAAUUUGAGUACUAGCAAGGAAAUAAAAUCAAUGCAACAUGUCGACGAUGUUAAAACUUAGGAGGUAUUCCGACGAUUUCGGUAAACUUCAACCCACCUCGAAAAGCUCGUCCAACCACGACGAGAAGUCGAAAGAAGAAGAAAUCACGCGCUCGUCCAGCCUCCAACGGAGCAACCGCGAUGCCCACGUGCUCAAACGACCCUUCGGUGCAACGGCGAUAAACUCCCGAGCUCGAGUCGUGACCUCCACCUCGAACACGAUCAAGAAAUAGAGAGAGAGAGAGAGCAGCAAUCUAAAAACCUCCUCUGUCUCUCUACACAUAUAUAAAGAGGUGGGGAUAAGGUUGAUAUUAACGUACUUCAAAUGACCAAAAAGUCCUUCACCAACUCAAAAUUACAGCUAGAGUACCGGUACCCAAUUUGGUUACCGGUACUCGGUCUCUCAGCCCGUAAGCUCGCACACAUGGUAUCGGUAUCAACCCGAUGCCGUACCGAUACUCAACACUGAAAUCCUGCACUUUGCGGAUUUCAGCAUCAGAACUCUACUCUCGUCUCGCGUCGAGUCCGUUUUGCGUCUAUUUCGGGCCAAAACGACUCCGACUUGUCCCGACGCUCUCCAGAUGUGUUGACAAGCCCCGGAUGAUACUCACAGGCAACCAAACACCAGGGAUACUACAUAUAUUCUUACAAAGUUCAAUUUUUAUAUGUUGGUUCUUCAAAAGUCCUGAUGUUUUCAAAUAUAUUCCUACCGUUAGAAUCCGUUAGAAAAAUUUAGUUAACAAUAGGUUAAAUACUUAAUCCUGGUUAGUCAAUGAGAUGAAUUGACCUUUUAUUUCUUUUUAAUUAACAGUUGGGACUUUUGAAGGGACAUAUUUGUGAUGACAAAAAAAGUAUUUUAAGUAUAAAAUAAACGGUGUUUUAACGAUAACAAAUAAGAGGGAUAUAUUUAAAAUAUUAAGACUUUUGUAGGGACAACAUAUAAAAGAUGAACUUUAUAGAGGUAUAUUUAUAAUUCAGCAUAUUUGUAGGGACCUGUAUGAAAUUAACUCUUUUUAUUAUUGUAAACAUUAAUUUUGUACAAUAUAACAACUGGUGCCGAUUUUUUUAUUAUCUUGAUUAUUUUGUUCGUAAAAUACUUUGAUCAAGUAAUAUAUGUGUUUUCGUCAAGCCAAGUUUUUUGGACAGCUCAUCGAGUUAACAGUUGAUCUAGUCAAAAAUACAUUCGAUUCACGAAUUGGCUUGUUGGAUGACCCUCGAUAGUAUCAAGAUCAAGCGAUUCUAUUGAGAAGGGUUCUCUCUCAAUGCGUAAAAAUUUUUGUAGAUGAGGCGAGAAUUGAUUCGACUGAAAUUAGAGCAGAAAUAAUUGCUUUUCAUUAACUAGAGCUUUGCAUAUUACAAAGAAAAGAACGCUGGGUUUCCAAUUGUAGGAAAGACUUGGCGAAAAACUUAAUUACAAGAAGACUAAAGGCUAAAAACUUAGAUUUAAAGCUACUCCUAAAAAACCUAUAAAUGCUAAAAAUAAAAAUAAAAAAUAUUAAAUCAUUGACCGUCCUAGCACAAGUGGCUAAGGAUUUGGUGGUUAGUACCUAAAGUCUCGAGUUUGAAUCCUAAUUGAUUUAUAUUUUUAGGUAAAGUUUACUUUUAAAGGCCAAUUUGCAUAAAAAAUUCAUAAAUUUUGAGCUUUUACAAAACUGGGCCGCCUUUUUUGAUUUUGCAAAUUCAAUCCGAAUUUUCAGCAAACUGACCAAAAUACCCUUAUUACUUUUUCUCUCUCCUCUUUCUCUCUCCUCUUCUUUUCUCUUGUUCAUUUUUUUUUCUCUCGCCGAAGAAAGCAGCGGAGGCGGAGGCAAAGGCGGAGGCGGAAACGGCCCGCCUCGCCUCUCAUCCUCAUGGUCUCGCCCUCACCCUUGCCCUCGCCCGCGCACCCCCCACCUUCCUCGCCUCCGACUCCGCNUUUUUUUUUUUUUUUUUUCUCUCCGACUCUCCUCCGCCGUCUCCGACGACAACGUCUCUUUCGCCCUUCCCCGCCCUUCUCGUCCUCUCCCUCUCCCUCUCCCUUCUCCUCUGCCGCCUCCGACAACGGCGCAUCUUCGCCGAUGCCGACACCGACACCAUGGAGGUCGCUGCGGCGCUGCAACCUCGGAGCGCGGGGUCCUUAGCGGCGUCGCCGCCGGCGCCGUUGUCACGCCCCGGGGCCGAUUUUAAAAGCCUUUUAAAAACAGAGUUGCGGAAAACGUGCCAUUUUUUUUUUUUUCUCAACCUGGCCCACGCGACGUACAGACCCGCCACAAAUACANAGCCAACUUCUCACCGCGGCUUUUCCGGAAAAUCGAGUUACUAUUCACUUUAAGUGAAACUUGGAAAUCGCGUAGAAUUUCCGUUUUAACUCGUUUUCGCCCGAAACUUGACGAGUGCUUUUGUAAUUAAAUUACACACAAAAACAUCGUCAACUGAGAGUUUAGCUACACUGCAAAAAUCUCAGUCCUUACAGCCGUGCCCGUUGGCAAAGAGGGGUGACAAAAAAAAUUUAUAGAAGAAGCAAGAAAAAAAAAUAAAGAUAAAAAAUUAUAGAAAAAAAAGAUGAAGAUGAAAUUGCACCGUUAAAAAAACGUUGCACUAUUAUGGAUAUAAGUUGCACUAUUUAAAAUGUCAACUGCAGCUUUAAGAUGAAAAUUACACUCUUUAAACAAAAAUUGCACUCUUUGGGAGAUAUUUACAAUGUUUCUUCUCUUAUUGUACUCUUUCAGAUGUAAACUGCAUCCAUUAAAAUAAAAGUUACACUCUUCAAACGAAAAUUGCACUCUUUGAGAGAUAUUUAUACUGUUUUUUCUCUUCUUGUACUUUUUGAGAUGUAAACUGCAUCCCUUUAAAAGAUAUUUAGACUGUUUUUUCUCUUGUUGCACUAUUUCUCCUCUUGUUGAACUAUUCCUUCUCUUAUUAUACUGUUUCUUCUCUUAAAGAGUGUAGUUUAAGAUAAGAAACAGUGUAACAAGAGAAGAAACAGUACAACAAGAGGAGAAACAAUAUAAAUAUCUCAUAAAAAAGGGGUGCAUUUUACAUCUCAAAGAAUGCAACAAAACGAGAAACAGCGUAAAUAUCUCUCAAAAAGUAUAAUUUUCGUUUAAAGAGUGUAACUUUCAUCUUAAUGGAUGCAGUUUAUAUCUGAAAGACUGCAAUAAGAGGAGAAACAAUGUAAAUAUCUCCCAAAGAGUGUAAUUUUUAUUUAAAGAGUGUAAUUUUCAUCUUAAAACUGUAGUUUACAUCUUAAGUAGUACAAUUUAUAUCCAUAAUUGUGCAACAUUUUUUUAAAACAGUACAAUUUUAUUUUAAAGAUGCAAUUUCAUCUUCAUCUUUAUUUUUCUAUUAUUUUUUAUCUUUAUUUUUUUCUUGCUUCUUCUAUAAUUUUUUUUUGUCAUCCCUCUCUGCCAACAGCCACGGCGCCGUCGACGACGUCGUUAAGGACUCCCUGCUCCAAGGCUGCAGCGCUAUAGCGACUUCCACGGUGUCAGCAUCGGGGAAGAUGCGUCGUCGUCGAAUGCGGCAGAGAGGAGGGAGAGGUAGAGGAUGAGAAGGGCGGGGAAGGGCGAGAGAGGCGUCGUCGUCGGAGACGGUGGAGGAGAGUCGGAGAGGAAAAAAAAAAAAAGAGUCGCGGGAGAGAGAAAAAAUAAUAAAGGUAUUUUGGUCAGUUUGCUGAAAAUCCGGUCCGAAUCUGCAAAAUCGAGAAAAGUGACCCACUUUUGCAAAAGCGCAAAACUAGUGGAUUUUUUGUGCAAAUUGGCCACUUUUAAAUUAAAUAAACAUCACAAUUUCUAACUGUUGCGUCCAAAAAUCUAUUUAUCUUCGAGUAUUCUUUUCCUUGAGUAUUCUUUUCAGGCUCUUUCUAUUUGGCCACGUGAGCCAAGCACAUGAUUCAUAUUUUCAACUGUUGCGUCCAAAAAUCUAUUAUCUUUGAGCAUCCUUUUCAGGCUCUUUCUAUUUGGCCACGAGAGCCAAACAUAUGAACCGGGCCGGCUACCAGCUGGCACCUCUUUCUUUUGCGCCAAUAGUAUGAAAUCUUGUUCAAAAUGAUCUGACACAUUUUUUGAAAUUUAAAUUUAUCAUUUAUCUUUUAGUUAAUAUAUUUUUUAAAAUUCACAUAACUAUAAAUUGAUCAAAGCAAGCAAAUUAGUUUGAAUUUUUGUAUCUGAAAAACCAUCAAAUCACUUAAUCAACAAAUUGAAAGGUUGUGUGUACUAAAAUCAAAAUUUUGAAAAAAAUAGAUAGUCUCGUCAAAAUAAUCUACAAUUCAAGUUAAAUUACACAUUAUUAUUUUAAAUAAUAAUAAUAAUAAUAAUAAUAAUAACAAUAAAAAAAUAUCAAAUUAGACUUUAGUCUAUCGAUUUUUUGAUUUUGACUCAACAAAAGCUAGCAAUCCACCUCGCAUCGACUCGUCAGUAAACAAGCUGAAUAACCGACCGUUUUUAGAGCAAGUGGCAAAACGCUUGAUGGUUCGUACCUGAGGUCCCAAAUUCAAAUCCUAAUUGAUUCACAUUUUCCAUCGGAUAGCAUGUAAUCUAUCUCUAAAAAAAAUAAAAUAAUAAACAAGCUGAAUAUGAGCUAAAUUUUUUAACUAAAUAUUUUAACGAACCAGCAUGUGUUUAGGUCAUUUAAUAAACCAAUAAAAAUGAGACGGCCACAACUGGCUUGUGUUCGGCUCGUUGACGACUGAAGACGCGCUUGACCUACCAUCGUCAGACUGUCAUGCUCGGAAGACGUAUUUGCCGGACGCCCUGGCCAUGGAUUACUAAAUCAAAGUCUUCAAAUAAGAUUUCGUGUGUGACUGUCAGACUUUGGUCCGUAUCACUCUUCCUCUACAAUUCAAAGAGUCCAACUCCCAUACGAAAGGUAAGAAAAGCUUUUUUUUUUUUUUUUUUUUUGGUAUGUCAGGUUGUGGUGUGCAAUAGACUACUAAUUGUAUUUAGGAAUAAAUUUCAGAUAUUAUUUCUAUAGUUUUAUACUUUUUUACUUUAGUACUUUGUGGUUUAAAGUGCAUCAAGUUAGUGUCAUGUGGUUGCAUUUUUAUUUUCUCACUAGUUUCUCCGUUAAUAUUUCGUUAAAUUAUAUAAAAAAAUUUAAGGUACUCCACCUAGAUUUAUCGAAUAUUCACUUUAGUACACUUUAGUCUUUACUUUGUCACUCAUUUAAUAAAAAAAAUUAGUGGAAUUAAUCGAUAAUAAAAAGAUAAAAAUGAAACCACAGGGUACGAAAUUGAUACACUUUAAACCACAUGGUAUUGAAAUGAGAAAGUGUGAAACCACAAGAAUGGUAUUUGAAGUUUUUCCUUGUAUUUAAAAUAAUUGGCUAAAAGCUUGAUGAUUGAUAUAUGAGAUCUUAAGUUCGAGCUCUACUUAUUUUAUAUGUAUUAUUUUUUUUAAAAAAUGAACAGAGCUGAUAACUCUCAAAAAAUAUUUCGUUUAGAUUAAAUUACCAAAUCAAGUUGAUGAAUUUUGAUUGGUUCAGUUCAUUUUACACAUAAUUCACUUUGGUUUGAUAUAAUAAGUUGUAAAUUGAAAAAAAAAAAAACCAGAACUAACAAUUUUUUUUAAUAAUUUAAUGACAUUAAUCUUAGAUUACAAUUAAAUAAUUGGAGAGUUUGAUUAUACCUUUUUUUAGUGGUUUAACAAAUUUAACUUCAAAAAAUUUAAAAUCGAAUAAAUCAAACGGAACUGAUCGUAUUGUUCCGAUUCAAUUUAUGUUUCUAAUUUGAUUCGGUUCGGUUUUGAAAGCAAUCUCCCAAAAGCCGAACCGAACCAACCGAAGCUCAGCCUUAUUCUUAGGGUGUUUUCUGAAUAGGAUGCUUCAUACCUUAGUAAAUACAUAUUUUCUCAAAAUUUCUUUUCAUGAUGAUAAUUUUUUUUUUAAUUUGUUAAACUAUUUUUAAUUGAUAUUUUGAUAUUAAUUAAUUAGAUAAAAUAUUAUUAAUUUAAAAUUAUAAUUACUUUUGUUUUCAUUAUUCUAAUCUAUCAUCCAAGCAUUGUUUAUCUUGUUUCCUGAAACAACUUAAUUUUCAUCCAACCAAAAAUUUACUAUAGUUCUUGCGGAUCUGAACUUGUACCUAUUUCUGAAAUAAGCAAUUUUGCCUGAGUGCGCAUCAUGUAUAUGAAUUUUUAUAAAUCCUAAAACACAAAGCAUCUUGUAUAUGAAUUUUUAUAAAUCCUAAAAUACAAAGACCGUAAGAUUUACAACCGUAUAUAUAUAUAUAUACAGUAAGAUUUAAUUACAACUUUAUACAGAUAUAUAAUUAUUCUUUUUAACAAUAAUGCUAUCCUUACACCAUCGGACUAAAUAUACAUCUUAUUCUGCCGUAUGAAGUCCAAACAAAGUUAGUUAAUUUACGAAUUAUUCACGAAUUAUUGAAAAUUUAAAUUAAAACAGCCCAUAUGUAAUUUAUUUCCAAAAAUCAGAAUAAAAUGCGGAUUUUUAGGUUAGAUUUAUUAUUCACGAAUAAUUCGCAUAUGCUGAAUUAUUCGGCCCAAAAAACGCGCAAAACUAUUGGAUAAGUUUUUUUUUCCCAAAUUAUUCGCGAAUUAUUGUUGAUUAUUCAUAAAUUAUUGAAAAACUUCAUGAACUUUUGGAAUAUGUGUAUCAUGAAAAAGAUGAAGAUGGAGGCGAUAAUAAAAUUUACUAUUGUAUUUUUUACUUAAUCUACUUUAUUUUAUAGCUCUCUAUUUUUAUAUUCUUAAAAAUUUAUAACUAUAUAUGCUAGUAGUAUAAAUAUAACGAAAAAAACUUAGUUUAAUAGCCGAAUUUUUUAUCGCGAAUUUUUAAUUGAUAAAUGUAUAAUUUUCGUAUAAAUCGCGUAUUCGAAUAAUUGGCGAACCCAUUUUUUUAACUAUAUUUCUGAAUGAAUUUAAAAAUUAAAAUAUAAAUUUUAUUUGAAUUAUAUUUGUACUGAGUUUUUGUCGAAUCCGAAUUAAUUAAUUACGAGUCCAAACUUGACUAGCCAAGUUUUGGACACCAGCGGAAAGCUUUUCUCUUUCAAACCCAAAAAAAAUUUAGUGGGAACACUAAGGGUGGGAACUAGUGUUCCCACCCCAGGGUGGAACAAGCUGGGAUAACCCAGCUUGUUCCACCCGUGAAGAGAGAGAGUUUAGUGGGAACACUAAGGGUGGGAAUUAGUGUUCCCAUCCUAGAGUGGAAAAAGCUGGGAUGACCUAGCUUGUUUCACCCUUGAAGAGAGAGAGAGAGAGAGAAAGAGAGAAUUUUUAAUUUUUUUUAAAAUUUAAAUUUCGUAAGUUAAAAAAUUAAAAUUUAUAAUUUUUAAAAUUACAAAAUUAAAAAUUAAAUUUUAAAUUGUUUAAUUUUAAAUUUUAAAAUUUGAUAUUUUAAAUUUUUUAUAUUUAGAAUUUGAUAUUUUAUAUUUUUAAAUUAAAAUUUCAUCUUAAAUUUAAAGUUUAAAAUUUAAAAUUUUAAUUUUUAAAAUUGUAAAUUCGAGAUUUUAAAAUUUUAAAAUUUAAAAGUUUAUAUUUAAAAUUUUAAAAUUUAAAAGUUUAUAUUUUAAAGGGAAAACUUCAAAACCCCCCCUGUGGUUUCGUGCAUUCUCACUUUGCUACCCUGUGGUUUAAAACGUAUCAAUUUGCCCCCCUGUGGUUUCGUUUUUAUCUUUUUGUUAUCAAUUUUAUUAUUAUUUUUUUUUAAAAUCAGUGACAAAGUUAAAAUUAAAGGAUACUAAAGUGACUAUUCGAUAAAUAUAGAUGGUUAUCUGAAGUUUUUUGUAUAUAAUUUAACGAAAUAUUAACGAAAAGCUUCCGAAAAGAUAAAAUGAAACCACAGGGGGUAAAUUGAUACGUUUUAAACCACAGGUAGCAAAGUGAGAAUGCACGAAACACAGGGGGGUUUUUGAAGUUUUUCCUAUUUUAAAUUUAAAAUAUAAAUAUAAAAAUAUAAAAUUUAAUUUUUAAUAUAAAGAAAAGGAUAAUAUUAUUUUUUUUUAUUUAAAUAUCGACACUUAAAUUUUUAUUCCAUCUUAUCUAUUCAAACGCUAUUUUUUUUAUUCUAAAAAAUAACCUAAUUUUUAUCCAAAUGCAAAAUUAAUUUAAUUUCUGUUUAUAUCUCAAUUUAUAUAUAUUUUUGGAAGAGUCAUUUUUUUGUUUAUCUUCCAACCAAACGAUGCUUUAAUUACAACGUUGCCGUAAUCAAUGCCUCAUUGGUGACAUGCACUUCAUACAUUGACCACGUACGCACAAAAUUACGUAUCCUUUGACGCGUUCAAAUUCUCCACUUCCUUAUAGAGAGGGAGAACCUCUGUAUAGAAAGAGAGAGGAGCCGUAUCAAACUCAUCAAACUUCAUUUGAAAAGGAGUCAACGCCCCCCUCUCUCUCUCUCUCUCUCUCUCUCUCUCUCUCUCUCUCUCUCUCUCUCAUUUCCACUAUUUAAGGAGAGACCACCUUAUAUCGCAACAUAAAGUAAGCUGGAUUACGCAGUUCAAUCCCUUGAGGCUGUGGAGAGAUCUAUAUAUAUAUAUAUAUAUAUAUAUCAUGGAGAAGAAGAUUACUGAAGCCGGAGAGACGACAUUGAAGAGGCCGACGCCGUCGCGGCCGGUCCACGGCCAAGUGAGGAAGAUCAGGCAGGAAGAAGACGAGAGGGCAAAGGAAGAGCUGCUGUCGCUGCCGCCUCCGCCGCCCGCCAGAAGGCCCGUCUCGCAGUCUCCUCUCGGCCGGGCGGGCCGCGUGAUCUCCGUCGGCGAUUGACGGACAAUUGAUCGAGCUGAACUGCUCAUGCUUUUCAGCUGUUUGGUUACAAGAUGGAAUGUUCUGCAGAGAGGCUUCUUGAUUCUUAUCUUUUAGUUUUACCAAUCUUCUUGUAAAUAUAAAUAAUAUAGGUGUAGGCAAUUUGAUCUUAUACAACUUUACCUUUCUUUUCUAUUCCGUGUGAUACUGUAGGAAGAACAUAAGAUCAUAUUGUAUUUUUUGACAGGUGACAUUAAUUAGAUCAUAUUGAAGAGUUUGUUUUGAGAGCGCUCUGUUUUUACGCUUUGCCUUUUCAAGUCACCAGAAUCUCACUUAAAGUGGGAAUCCAAUCGGAGGUGCAUACUGUUAAAGAAUGCGAAAUAACAGUGUUUUUAAUUUCUAUACGAAAACACUCUCCUUAAUAUUUGAGGUCGAGAUUUUUUUUUUAUUUUUGAAAGAGAGAUAGAAAUGUGUAUUAAUUAGGAUUCGAACUUGAAAUUUCGGAUACCAACUACUAAAUCCUUUGUCACUUGCUCUAGAAAUAGUGAGGUCAAGAUAUUUUUAUACAUAUAAAAUAUAGACUUCAAUUAAAUAAGAAAAAAUUAAUAAUACUAGAAACUGAAUGAAUGAAGCGGGUAGCGUGCUAUUUUUUUCUCAAAAAAAAAAAGAAGAAAAAUAAUACUAGAAACUUGGUAUAGUUAGCACUGAGAAUCUCGAGUUUAGAUACCGUGUUAAAAAAAAAUUAAUACUAUUUUCUAACGACUUAAAUUUUUUUAAAUCACAAAAUUAAAAGUCUAUAAAAUUUAUGAGUCGUGCAAGCUAAGACGAUUCGGAGCUUUCUCUGCAUCUUACGAGGGGAGCGGACUUCACUUUUGCAUUAAUUGCUCUCGAGACUCUCAUAUAUCUACUCCCACAGAAAUCCUUUUUGACUUGUCUUGGUUACUACGCUCUGUUUUGUUGGCUCCAAUCUAUUUUUUUUUUCCUUUUUUUUUUUAUUUUUAAAGAACGAUAUCUAUUUCAUUCAUUAAAAAAAAUAAAUUAAGCUAUAAUAGUGAGAUAGAGGGACCUCCGAACGAUAUCAAAAUAAUUUUAAAAAUUAAAAAAUUAAAAAAUUAAAAAAAAAAAGAAAAAAAUUUAAAUUCCAUUAAAUUCUAGGCCAGAAUACGCUCGUUUAAACACGCUGUUCUCCUCCCACUGAAGCUUCAAACGUCUGAUCGAGUUGACAGCUAGCAAGGGUUCAGCAUUAGCCAUCCUAAAAAUAACGGCAUUCCUUACCUUCCAGAUAACUCACCAACUGGCUGUGAGUCCAGUCAUUAUGUUUCCAACCGAUUGAGCACUAUCCCUUGCCAUCCGUUUAUUCCAUACGUAUAUUACAUCAUCACCCAGGUCCCCAACCUGAAUCCCUUCCACAGCCAUGCCAAUCAAGAAUCUGCUGAAUCUUCCCUCAGCAUCAAUAUCUAUAGAUAUAGAUAUAUUAAUUUUUCAGUUUUACUGUGGCCGACGUGUCACCUCCUCAGCGCCCCCCUCCUCUCGCGCCCCUUCGAAGCGUCCCCGCGUUUGGCGGGGGCUUCGAUGGCCCCCACAGUGGGGGGGGCGGCAGCGGCGGUCACGUGUGCGGGACCCCGCAGCGGGCGAGCUGCAGCGGCUAGCGUCGGGCGCGGGGCGGGCGACACGUGGCUUCGGCGGACCCCACAACGGGGCUGGCGGCAGUUUGCGCGGGCGUCGGGCGCAGGUCGCGCGCCCUCUCUCUCUCCUAUCGGGUGUUUGUCAGGUCUCCCUCUCCCCUCCCCUGGCUUUCUCUCUCUCUCUCUCUCUCUCCUCUCCCUUUCCCUUCGGCUCUCUCUCUCUCUCUCGAUUCCUCUCUCUCUUUACCCCAGAUUCCUGCCCUCUCUUUCCCCAACCCCUCGGGCCCCACCCCCCGGGCUCCCUCUCUCUCUCUCUCUCCCCUCGCGCGUGCGCGCCCGGCGCGGGGUCGCCGGACAUGGCAAGUCUUCCCCCCCGCCGCCCCCGUCUGUUUCCCUUCUCUCUUCUCCCCCUCUCAUUCCUCUUCCUACCCCCUCUCCUGCUCCUCUCUCUCGCCCACCCUUUUUCUCUCGCUCCCACAUUCCCUUGGCUUUCUUCUCUCUCUCUCCCUCUCUCUCCCCUUCUUUUUUUUUCUCCCCCCUCAGGCUCUCUCUCUCUCUUACCCACUCUCUCCCUCUCCCUACCCCACCCUGGCUCCCUCUCUCUCUCUUGCGCGUGAGCGCGGGGCCUGCCCGGGCGCGCGCGCGUGGGCCAGGAGAGCGGGCCGAGUCAGAAGGCACGGGCACGGCGCGGAGCGUAAGCGAAAGCGGCGUCGCGGAGAGCUAGCGCGCGGCACGGGCACACCGUGGAGCCGAAAACGCGGCUCAUAGCCGUGGUUCUCACGGGGUCGCGAGGCCGCUUCGCCCUCGUGAACCACAUGAGAGGGAGCGUCCAACGGUGGAGCCUCCGCUCUCCAUUAUAUAUAUUAUAUAUAUAUAUAUCUAUAUAUAUAUAUAUAGUCCGGCUACUAUGUUAUUGAUAGCACGAAGCACUCGGUGCUACCAAGUUUUUCGCCGUUAGAUCUACUCUUUUGAUCAUUUUCACCCGUUAGAUCAUAUUAUUCAACCAACCACCCACUCAACCCUAGGGGGCUCACAUCAUCCUAACCGCACAUCUCUUAAUCCAAUGGCUAAAAACUUGGUAGCACCAAUGACUUGGUGUCACGCCCCCGGGGUCCCUUUUAGUUCAAAGCAUAGCGGAAAAGCAUCUAAAUUUUUUUUUUUUUUUUAAAAGCCUGACCCCAGAGUGUGCCAGAUCCGCCACAAACACAGGAAAUUCACUGUUCACACGGACAGAGUCUCCCCUGUAUUUGCACGGCGUCACACAAGUACAACAGAGUAUGAAUACAAUCACAACCACAACCAGAUGAACGACAAGAUAGAUAACAUUCAUCCAUUCCAUUCGCACACACAGAUAUGAUACUUGAGUUAUGAAUAACAUUCCACAUCUAUCAGUUAAAAUGUUUCCUAUCUGGAAACUGAUUUUGAAAUACUAAAUCCAUAAAACCACAGAAAAUCAAUUUGAAAACUGUUCCCCACACGGGAACCAUUCUUUUUCAAAACCAGCUACCACGAGGGGUAGAAAACUGUUUUAUCUCAAGAAAACCAGAAAUCCAUUUAAUACAAUUUGAAGUCCACUACCUCAGGUUAUUCCAAAGUCGGAGCAAAACUGAACCAUAAAUGAACUAAAGUAAAUACGAAGAGUGGCGGGUGCUAACGCAGCUAGACACGAUCCUCACCAGCUGUCCCGCUCGGACCAGCUAUUUCACCUGAAAAAGGGGCGGGGAGUGAGAACAUGUAAACAUGUCUCCCCUCCCAGUGGGUACCGCAAGCCGGAGAGGCCGAGAGGUACUCACUAGUCACGGAGAACUAGAUAGAUAUAAGUGUUGGUAAGUAAAGAUGCUGAUAAGUAGGGAGCUGACAAGUAUAGAUGCAGGUAAAUAAAAUAGUAGCUACAAUAAACAGAUAAGGAUGUACUGGAAAUAAACACUACAGCUACUGUAUGCAUGCGUCAACUGACGAUAACCUCAAAAGUACCCAAUCUCGUUGCCCUAUUAGUCUGAAGACCUCAGGCCCAUGCCACACUGCUCACCCUGUACCUGACCCUCGCAAUGAAGCCCCUGGGUCAGAAGCAUAGUACCUGACCCUCGCAAUGAAGCCCCUGGGUCAGAAGCACAGUACCUGACCCUCGCAAUGAAGCCCCUGGGUCAGAAGCAUAUACCCUCGCAAUAAAGCCCUUGGGCUCACGGGUUGGCAAUCCAACCACUUUUUCGGAAAAGAACACCCUCUUGCGGUGGAUCAGACCGCUGGUGUUCGUGAAAUGCGUAUCUGGAGUGGCGAUCAAUGUAGUAUGCUCAAAGAUCAUCCAUCCGCAACUAGCCGACAAUCCAAGCCCCUCAGGGCACAUCGACCGUAUAGGUCAUCAGCAACUAGUCGGCUACGUAUGUCAAGAUAGAACUGUAGCAACUCGACCGAAUAGGUCAUAGAUAUCAAAAUAGGGGAACCGCCCAACCAAAUCACAGAUAUAGUGAACAGAUAAGUCAACUCUACUUCUAAGCAUGAUAUCGACAUGGAAAUAACUGAGUAGAGGAAUGCAGAUAUAAAUGCAGGUGCAAGGUUCAAUAUAACUGUAAGGUAGAGUAAACAGUAGGGGUGAAGAAGCGUCACCGAGCGUGCACCACUGUACCGACUACGGGUCGAAGUACCCACCUGUACGUGUCUGACGAAGGUCUCUCGACUGUGAAGACGGUGCAACCGAACCUACGAAAGGUCCAACGGGUUAGGAUCUAACCCACUGACAUGCAACGCUAUCUCACAACCCCCAAUCAUAGCCCCACGGAAUCGGUUUCCCAAAACCGAUUACGAACAUGCCGGAAGUUCCGAAAAUCGCACCGGAACUCCCCCGUCGCUCACCCGUCGUUUCCCGAACCCUCGAAACGACAUGGGUGACCAGCCAACAAGACUCAGCGACGCUACAUUCAACCACAAGGCGCCGUCGGAUGAACUCCGAAUCGAAAACAUGUUCUAUCGGUGGAUUUCGUCGAAAAAUGCUCCGAAAACUACUUUUCGGUUUCCGCAAGGGUUUGGGGCCUCGGACGAUCAGUCCAGAGGUUAUCCUCAGCCCAAACAUGCUGCCAACAGCAGCCACAACGAAGCAACAAUCAUAAAAGCCCAUAUCGAUACAUGAAAUCGCAACAUUUUAUGUGUUUUCAAGGCUUUUCUGGAUCGUGCACGCAAACCAAAGAUCAAUUAAGCGAAUCAUCGCGCUCGCUGAUAGAUUUCAGCAUGACGGAGGCUGUGCUCACCUUUCGGAGCACUGCAGGCCGCUGGGGUGCGCGUACGAGCGAUGCGAAGUUCUGUUAAUCUGCGCGUACAGCCGGAGAUCGCGACUAACUCACUAACCAGGGCAUCUUUGCUGCUAUCGGAGGUGAGCACGAUGUUCAGCACGAGUUGUAGAUCAUCGUGCUCACUUCCCGGGGUUUAGGUGGCUCAUUGGAUCACCGGAAAGGUGACCGGAACCUCGGAAAACAGUGCUGGAACAUAAAAUGUCCUUACCAGACCCGAGGAGAGCUAGGGUUGGUCGCCGGCGGCCGGGAGGCGGGCGGUCCGGCCGGAGGAGGGAGCAGUCAGUCCAGGAGGUCCGGGGAAAGACGGUGCACCCCUUGGUGGGCGGCGGCGACGCUUGGAAGCUGAACGGACUCGGCCUCAGCCCGCACGGUUCCAGGCGGCCACAGGAUGUUGCAGUAGCGGCCGGCGGCGCGCGGGGACGGCGGGGGACGUGCGCGCCGGGCUGCUGGAGGUCGCCGGGGCCGACAGGAGGGCGGCGCGGCCAAGGUGAGGCGUGGACGCCGAGUUCAAACCGGCUCGGUCAGGGCUGACCCGAGCUGGUCGCAGGGAGCAGGGGUGGCUCCGGCGGCGCUCGGGGGUGGCCGGGGCCGGCGGGGGAAGACGCCGGAGAUGGGCUUCGGCCAGAGGAUGAUGCUCCAAGGGGUGAAAGAGGCUUCCUUCGCAACUUCGGCCAAGUUGGAGGAGAGGGUGGCCGAGAGAGCAAGAGAGGAGGUCGGGGUGGCCUUUCCGGCGGCCGGAGUAGGUCGCCGGCGGCUGGGGCGUGCGCACAGGUUGGGCAGGGUGGUGCUGAGGCGGCUAGGGUUAGUUAGGUGAACGUGGGCAGUCAAAAAGUCAUGGGAAACCCUAGAUGCCCAUUUUAUACAAGGUGACACUUUGCGAGGAACCCCUCCAAAGUCUAAUAUUUACAUUCCAGCCCCUGCCAACGUGUGGAUUAGGCGUAUAGGUCCCUCUACAUUCGAAUUCGUGCAAGACCGCGCAUAAAAUAUUGGACCUUAUCGCGAAUAAUCAAUUUUGCACAUUGACCUCUCAACGGACUUUUCACGAUUCCCGAAGAUCCGUCCAUCGGAUUUCUGAACGAUUGAGCCAGCGCGUUCAGCAUGACUGGGGCAUCGAAUCUAGCAUUUAUUUCAUCGAAUUUGGUCUUCGAUCAGCGACGAAACAUCCAUUUCGUUUUUCACCAUAUAACCACUUAUGUUAAUACAUAUAAUUUCCAUUAAACCCCUUUUUCUCGACAACCUGCAUCAGAAACCCAAUUCCGUCAGUGUCAUGGGUCCAGAAUGGUCGAGCCAUUCGAAAUGAGCUAUUGGAUCGCUAUGAACGGAGUCCAAUACGCACCGAAAGCCAACUCUACUCCGUGGCUUCACCGAAAAAAACGGCAUUACUAUUCACUUUAAGUGAAAACUAAUAAUGCGUAACUUCUCCUUUCUAGCUCAUUUUCUCCUGAAACUUGACGAGUGCUUAUGUAAUUAAAAUACACACAUAAACAUCGUCAACAGAGGUUUAGUUGCACUGUCAAAAUCUCAGUCCUUACACUUGGUGCUAUUAAUAGUAUAUUAGCCUUAGUUAUAUAUUAUAUAUAUAUAUAUAUAUAAAUAUUAUAUAUAUAUAUAUAUAUAUAUAUAUAUAUAUAUAUAAUAUAUAUAUAUAUAUAUAUAAAAUUUAUUUAUAACAUAUAUUUAUUAUUAUAUAUUAAUAUAUAAUAUUAUAUAUAUUAUAUAUAAUUUUAUUCAAUUCUAUAUAUAUAUAUAUUUAUUUAUUAUAUAUAGUACUUUGUUUUUAUAUAGAUAUAUUAUUAUAUAAUAGUUUAUUACAUAAUUCACUAUUUAUUUUUAUAAAAUAUAAACUAUAUAAAUAAAUAUUAAAUAAUUUAGACUAUUGGUAUUAGAUAUAGAUGUAAUUUUAUAUGUGAAGGUAAUAUAAGAUUUACACUUAUAUGUAGAUGUACAGAUAGUAUUUUUUGUAUACAGAAAUUUGUACCAUUAUAUAUGCAAUUAUAAUUCUUCUUUUCUAUUUAAUUUAGGGGAGAAGAUGAAUCAGUACAUGUACAUCAACAUUAUUCUUUGAAUGAGCUAAAUGACUGAUUCUUUUGUCUGUAGGAAUAUAUUGCGAACUUUUGUACUAUAUUAGUCAUUUACUGCCUGAGCCAUCUUUUGCUUCUAACUUAUGAUAACCAAUUAAUCUACUUAACUCUUAGGUGUAGGCUUAUAUCCACAAACAAAUAUGCAAGUUUGUCUUUGUUUGUUUAAUUAUUUGUGCUCAUUUUACGCUGGAAAUUGCAAACCCUGUUGGUAGCUUAGUGCAAAAUAUAUAUAUACUUUGAUUUAGCUAUAUUUUAAUUGAUUUAUAUACAGGCCGUAUUGAUGAUUCUCCUGUCAUGCUUGCCAAACGUCAAACUUUUAUGAAUGCAAGUGCUGAGUCUGUAAGUAGAUAUCUCUAACUCAUCCAAAUUAUGUACAACUAUCUGAAGCAAUUCUUUUUAUUAUCCUAUUCCAAUUUUAUGAUGCAAAUUGGGGCUUCUUUAUGUAGGUUGGUUCGCUGGUUUCAUAUUACAAGAUAUGACUGAAUCAAGUACUUCUGGUAUAUAUAUCAUAUUGUUGUUAUGCAACUAUUGAUGUUUAGUUUUUACUAUUAGUUUUUGAUGGAUUUUUAGUUUUGUUACUUUGUAGAUGUAUGGUGAUUUGGAUUUACCUUUUGCAAAAUUGCGUCUACUAUAAAAUGUCGAAACUUAAAAUUUUAAUUUUUACAUUUAAAAGUGAAAUUUCGACAUUUAAAAUUUAGUAUUUGAUUUUUUUAAAUUCAAUUUGUAAUUUAAUAUUUAAAAUAUUGAAUGUUUAAAUUUAAAAUUGAAACUUAAAAUUAAAAAUUGUAUAUUUUCCCUUAAUUACUAAAACUAAAUGUUAAAAUUUUUCUGUUUUAAAUUUUAAAUUUUAGUUUCUAAAUUAUAGAUUUUAAAUUUUAUACAAAAAUUAUAAAGCUUAAAAUUUUGAAAAUUAUAUAUAUUAAUUUGUUGAAAUAUACCAUGGAAUUUCAGAUUAUCUAGCUGAAUUCCUAAAAAUUCAAAAUUACAGCGACAUAUAAAAGUUUAGAAUUUAAAAAAUUAGAAAUCAACAAGACUCUAUAUAAAAUCAUAUAUUCAAAAUAUACAAACUGAAUUAAGAUAAAAUAUAUUUUUGGAAAUUUUAAUUUUUAAAUUGUUAAUUUCAAAUUUUAGAAUUUAAACAAAAGGGAAUUAGAAAUUUUAAAUUUUAAAUAAAUUACGUAAAUUUUUCGCCGCAAAGCGCGGGCCUAUACUAGUAAUCCUAUGAAUCGGCAACCCUAACGGAGCCCUCCCCGCAAUUCGCGCUCUCCGCCCUCGCGUAUGGCGCGGCGGUCCCCCUCCCGCCCACCUCACACCACCCCCCCCACCGGCGAUCCCCCCUCCCCCCCCCCCCCUCGGUGCUGCCCCUCCCCCCCGUCUUCGGCCGGGAUGGUCCGCUCUGACUUUCCUCCCUCGGGAACGCAGCUGUCUUUCCCCUACGGGGGCAACCCUAACGGAGCCCUCCUCUCGUUUCACGCUCUCCUCCGUUUUGUACGGCGCUCUUCCUCUUUGUCUUCGCCAGGAUGGUCCGCUCUGACUUUUUCGUCCUCUCCGCCUUCGCUGUUGUGGUCGCCAUCCUCCCUCGGGAAUGCAGCUGUCUCCCCGUACAGCGCGGCGUUCCCCCCCACUCUCCUUUCGUCCUCUCUGCGCAGCCGCGACGCCGUGCGGCAUGGCGCCUUCCCUAUUCUGUUGCCCGUCUGCCUAUCCCGUCCGAUUUCCGUACAAGCGGGGGUUGCCGUUGUGCUGUCGGCGAUAUGGGCCGCGUCUUUUCCUCAGCCGCACGUGUUCAGCUGUCCAGUCCGGCGUGGCUCCUCCCUGUGAUAUGUGGUCAACAGGCAUUAAUCAAGGUAUAUAUCAUGACCUUCUUUUUUUUCCUAUCCUGUUGUCCUCCGCGAUCGCAGCCCACCUCCCGUAGGGCAUGGAGCUCGCGUGCUCUCUCUCUCUCUCUCUCUCUUCCCCUCCUGUGUAUGAUUUCCUGUGGGGCUUCCAUGCGGCUGCUCAUCUUUAUCCCUCUGUGCUCUCUCUCCCUGAUUUCUCCUCUCUUACUGUGCUCUGCUUGCUUUUCCUCUCUCUGGUUAUUAUAAAUACUAAAGAGGCUGGUAUUUUUUUUCUCUGCGCAUUUCUAGUUCGCCCUGAUUUUGAACCCCCUGUUUUUGGAACGUUGUUGCUCUGUCGUUCUUGCCCUGUGGUGCUUUUGAGCGUUGCAACUGAUCGAUGGGUAAAAACAAGCAUUCGGAUGCUUCAUGAUUUCCCUCCCCCCCUCCCUUUUUUUUCCCUCUUAUACUUACUCUUAUACUUUUUUCCCUGCAUGUUGGUGUGUUUGAUUCUGUGCAGCAAGUCUGCACAUCUGUGGCUCCUAAGGUAUUCUGUCAAAUUUUUCUCCUAUUUAUUUGGAACACUGAAGUUUACUUACACUGAAGUUUUAUUCUCGAAAUUAUAGAAGGCUGGGAAUUGGUAGAGAAGGCUGGAAUUGACGUAAUAUAAUGAUUGUGCUUGUCUCUACACUUAAAUGAGCUAAAUUAGAGAAGGCUGAAAAUUUGGAGAGAUUUUUUGCAAAAAUUUGGCUGCUACUGUUUCCUCCAGUUUGCACGAUUGCGCCUCACUGCUGGAACCUCCUCACUCCCUCUCUAUCUUCCCCAAUCAGCCACCCUCUCUCUUUGCUUCACUGUGAUCAAAGGAGCCCUUAUGUUAUGAAUAGUGGGAUGUUGUGUUAUUUGUAUUUGGUAGGUCACUCUAAUUAAGAGCAUCCGGCACCCCUUAAUCCUAAAGGUCUACUUUCUCCAACUUAUUUUUGUGGUGGUUCCAACAGAUUGUGUUGUGAAUUUCUACUGAUAUUCUCUUUUCCUGUGUUUGCCAGGUUGCCGCAGCGAACCUCUCGGGAAUUUUGGUCCGCUCAUCUCCUUCUUUCCAUUGUGCUCCUUUGCUUCCUACUCUAUUUAGUACGAUUCCUCUACUUACCACUGCUGGUUCUGACACAUUAAUGUGUGGUGCUACUUUAUUUACUGUGAUUUCCUCUCUUAUGUUUUGCUGUUAGUACAUUUGAGUUGCUAUUUUCAAAGUGAGAUUUUGGGUGUUGAGUGUUCGAUCCUAACUCCCAAUUCAUGUUUUUUUUAUAGAAUGUGUUUCUUCUUUCCCCUCCCAUUUAAUUUUAUGUUUUGUUCUUACUGAUCUCCUUUGACAGAGAGUUAAGCUUAAUUACUUGCCUAUACAUCUCCUAUUUAUUGCUUAUUUUUUACCUAUUUGUUAUUUGCUUCUCCCCCUCUUUGUAUGAUGCUUUUGUUCAGGUGAUUUUCCUUGAUGAGGUCUCAGUGCAGUGAAUGCCUACUUGCUUGCUUCUCUGCCUUCUGUUUGAUGCUUCCUUCGUUGAUAGAGGUGAUGAUGAUUUCCGCAAAAAAAAAAGAAGAAGAAGAAGAAAGGAACAAAUAAAAAAAAAUUGUUGACCCCGUUCUUCUACUAAAUUAGUUACUGAAUUACUUACACCAUUACUCCUCCAGUGCCCUCUAAUUUUUUUAGUUGUUCGUUGCUGAGCAUAAUUUGCAGCUUAGCUAUUUUUCAUGUUGGAGAAAAUGCAUAUAUUACUAUGUGGUUAUCAAUUUUGCCCCCUCACUAUAUUUCUUGCUUAUUUUCUCGCUACUCUCCUACAUUGCUUCAGAUUUUCUACUUACUUUUAUUCUGCUACUAUUUUUUUUACUAAUUAUUUAGUAAUUUUACAAAUUUUUUGUGUAGAUAAUUUUUUGUUCCCCCGAGGGAUAUUAUACAAAUUUUUUACAUGACUGGUUUACUAUGAGGUUAUCAACUUUUCCCCUUUAGAUUUUAUAUAUAUUUUUAUUAUGUUUAUGAUACUAUAUUUUUCCUUUUUUGACUAAUUAUUUAGCUUUUUUACAAAAUUUUCGCCUAGGUGAUUUUUCGUUUCCACGAGGGAUAUUACACAAUUAUUGUGCAUGGCUAGUUAGUUUUGCACAAACUUGGUUCUUUGGAUCCCUAUUCUUCUUUUAUGCUCUACAUGGUAUAAAUUGAUUCAUAGAGGCAAUGGUGGUUUUAACAAAAUGAAAAGAAUUGUUGAUUACUGUUUACUGCUAAUUUAAAUCGGACUUUUAAAAUUUUCAUUGUUUGUUCCUACUUUAUACUGAAUUAAUUUCAAUAUUACAUUGUAGGGUUAUCCUUCUGCUGUGUCUCUCUCCUUAACUACCCAAUUUUUUUUGGUUGCCUCUAUUUCUAUGCUAUUUGUUCCUCCGGUGCCAUCUAAUUUUUUAGAUGCUUUGUUGCUGAGUGUAGUUUGCAACUAAAAUAUUUUUCAUGACAGAGAAAAUGCAUACAUUACUAUGCAGUGGUCAAUCUGAGCCUCUUCCAAAGUCGCCUAAAAAGAUGCUAUGGGUUUUACUUCUUAUUUCUUUUCCGCAAUACUUCCCGUGCUUACUUUCUCGCUACUCUCUUACAUAACUUCUGCCUUCCUAUUAACUUUUAUUUUGCUACUGUAUUUUUCUGCUUCUUUCCCUAAUUGUUCAGUUUUUAUACAGAUUUUCUUCCUCAUUAAUUUUCUAUCUUUGCCGAGGAGUAUUAUGCAAAUUUUUUGCCUAAUUGUUUGGUUUUUCUCAAACUUGGUUCUUUGCAUCCAUGUUCUUCUUUCAUGUUUGCAUUAUAUGAAUUGAUUGAUAAAGACAAUGAUGGUUUCAGCAAAAUAGAAAGCUACACGUUGGGAACAAAAAAGGAAUUGUUGAUUACCCUCUUCUGCUGGAUUACUUCAGAUCUUUUGAAUUUCCAUUGUUGGUUCCUAUUUUCUACUGAAUUACUUUCGAUAUUACACUAUGGGGUUAUCUUUUUGUUGGCUUUCUCUCCCUUUAACUACCUGAUUCCUUUUGGUUGCCUCAAUUUUUGUGCUAUUUAUUCCUUCAGUGUCCUCUAAUUUUUCAAAUGCAUUGUUGUUGAGAUUAGCUUGCAACUUAACUGCUUUUUCAUAGUUGAGAAAAUGCGUAUAUUACUAUGCAGUGAUCAAACCUUCUGUGGGUAGGCUUGGAUAUAAAAGGUAAACUCUGAUUUAAAAAUGACAACUCUACAGCUGAUAUGAAAAAUUUAGAUGAAGUUCUAUUUGCAGAGAGACAAUGUCUUAGGUAAUAAUAAUUCAAAAUUUUAUUCAUUCAUAUUUAAAAGUACUGCAGUAAAACUUUCUUUUUAUUUUUCUCUUUUUUUUUUUUCGCAGGUAUGCUGAUGAUGCUCAAAUAAGUGAAGACAAAAAAUAAAGAAUCAAACAAGUGAAGUGAAGACAAAUAAUAAAGAAUCAAAUUCCGUAUAUGUAAGAAAUGGAACUUAUUUAGAAUUAUGUUAUGAUCCAGUUUUUAGCUAUAUAAUUUACUUAGACUUUUAACUUCAUGCUUUUUUUAAAUCGUUAGUGUACUAUCCAAUAGUGUAUAUCAAUUGAUUUGGUAUAAAAUUGAGUUCUUCUUUCUUGCUUAAGCUAUCCAUGUAUAUAUUACUCACUCCUUGCCCACGUUAAUAAAUUACUGUUGUAUUAACUUCCCGCCGCAACGCGCGGGUCCCCUUAACUAGUUAGAAACCUAGAAAGAUUGGAGAGAGAGAGAGAGAGAGAGAAUAUUCUUGUAGACAUUUUGGUUUAUGCUUUGUGGUGGGAGUAGAGAUCGGGUUGCAUUUUUCCACCUCCACAUCCUCACUUUCUACCUGGGCUAUCAGCUAGCCCAGGAACAGAAAAGGAAGAUGAUCCUUUCUCCUUCCCUCUUCUCUCUAAGUGACUACCCAUCUCAACUUCGAAACUUUUUAGUUUUAAAAGCCUUAAUUUGAACUUAAACAUGCUGAUCAUAGAACAGAUGGAAAGGACAUAGAUACAUUGUAUUAUAAACUACAAAAUUUUUGCGCUCCUCGACAGCAAAACAAUUCCUUAUUAUUUUGCAUUGUAAGUUUUUAAAGCCCUUCAUUGUCCCACACCAUCUAUUGUAAGACAUCUUUUAAGUAGUACACACCUAUCUGACAAGUGAAAUUGCUCUACACUGAUGAUGCUGCAACUACUGAUUAACUGUUAAAAAUUAGCGCUAAACUUAUCUUUUUUUGUUUCUUUUUGUUUACAACAUCAAUAAGUGUAUUUGUAGGAGCCCAAUAAUCUAUUGUUUAAAUUGACCUUUUUUUUUUGCUCUUUUUGAUUCAGGUUGACUUGUGGCUUAUUUUUGGAUAGUGAGCCAAGUUGGUACGGACGAAACCAGGAUUCAAUCACGAGGGAUGCCAAAAUAUAUACAAAAAAAAUAUUUUGACAGAUAAAUAAGAUUUUAACUACUCAAAUUUUUAAUAAAAAAAUUUAGUGAUUAGAUAUUUAAUGUUAAAAAAAUAUUAAAUUUAUUUCGCUAAUUUACACUCGCUUAACUUCUAAUUAUUUUAUUUACAUUAUUCUAAUCAAAUAACUUAAGAAUUUUACUAAAUCUAAUAGUAAUUUAGUUAAAAUUUAUUUUUUUAAAAUUUUUGUUAAUAAAAUAAUAACAACCAAUGACUAAUAUCUAACAGAACUAUUAAAUUUAGCAUACUAUUUUAUUUAGUUAAAUAAAUUAGCUCAUCAAAAAUAAUUAGAAAGUUAAUUAUUUCAAAGUACUUAAUUAAGAGGUCCUUAGCGUAUUUUCACCUAUAAAACACAUAAGAAAAGAGAGAGCUCUAUACUAGCACUAAAAACUUUUUACAAGAUAGGCCUAUAUAUUUUAAAAAUUAACUAAAAAUUUAUAAGCUACUAAAAAAUUAUAAAGUAAAUAUUGAAAAGUGCAAGUUGGGCCACAUAGGUAUAGUUAGGGGUUAAAAGAAAAUAGGUUAAGUGAGAAAACCAGCUUCUCCUCUUUUUCUCCAUUAUUUCCUUAUUUGAUGUUUCUCGCCGGAGCAAGAAAAGUGUCAAAGAGGGUCAAAGGUGGUUGGAAUUUUGCUAGGUUUGAGAUGGGUGACAUCUAAUCUGCCUCUUUUCCUCUCUUGUGAACAUCCAUUGUGUUGCGUGCCGAAUGUCCCGAUCCUUGACCCGGUCAAGUAUUCUCCUCGGGAAGGGCGUCGGGAUGAUGCGCGGCCGCGGAUUAUGACCCUCGAAGUAUGCGCCCACAGAGGAUCAAGCGAUUAGGCCGAUGAGGGAUCGGACCAGCCGGGUUCAAAAACCUCUGCAGUAAAUUCGCUUCGGCAGGAUGAGCCGAAUGGAGAAGGGAAGCCCAGAUUUCGACUAAAAGAUGAGCCGAAUGGCUAAACAACUUAAGAUCUGAUCGGCAGGAAGAGCCGAAAAUGACUUUUUAUUGAUUAGCAAACGGAAAGAGUACAGGAACAGGGGAGUGAUGCCCGUAGGGCAGACAGACUCCGAGUAUGAGAAUAGGAGAGUGAUGCCCGUAGGACAGACAGACUCCGAGUAUGCUAAAUUACAAGAACUACUCCUAGGGAAAGCAGUAAAUGCGAGAAUAGAAAGAUGCAGGAAAAUAAAGGUGGUCUUUUGUGCGUAGAGGCGAAGACCCUUUCUUAGGGUGCCGUAUGCCCAUUUAUAAAGUUGCCCUUGCGUUCAGUUAUCGUCAAUGUACGAUCGGCCACUAUCUCCUGAUUUGUAGGACCACCUUCGGCCGAUUGGAACUGCUCAUAACCGCUUACGGUUGCUACGCUUUUUGAACAGACGCGGCUCAUAUCUUCUGGCGCGUUUUAUAUACUCCCGGUCCACCAUUUUGACAUGGACCAUGGACGUGGUCCCGGCUUGCCAGCUGUCCGCAUUGAAUUGGCCCAACACAUUGUAAUGCACUUUUGAUUGAAGGUUUAUUUAAUAUUUUUCGCUUUUCCAUUAUAUGUUGUCUUUAGAUACUUUUAGUGAAGUUGAUAAAAUUCAUAUGUAGAGUUAUUUGCGAUUAUUUUUGUGAACUUUUUAUUUCUCCAUUCUUGUAUUCUACUGUGGUUGUGCGAUUUUGAGCGAAUAGAAAAACUUUGUUUUUUCAGUUUCUAUGCAUCGGAGAAAAGCGUGUGCUCGGGCUGAAGCUGGUUAUACUUUUCUCUUCAUUUGCUUCGUUCUUCGUCGUGAUCCAAGUAUACUGCAUUCGAAUACCAUUCACUCACCCCAAAAGCUUAAUUAGGAAAGGGUUCAAUCACAUAUGGACACAACAAGAAUGAUUCACACACUAAGAUUAACCCAAAUUUCUAUAAUAAUACAACACCUUAUUCAUGUCAUCAAAAAGAAUGAUGUGAUUUCAUAUAAUAUACAACAAAGAACAACCUCAGAUGAACCUAAACUUUAGGAAUAGUCCCAGUUAUUACAACAACUGAUAUCAAUAUUCUGUACACAAGUAAGAUCGUCGGAUUCAUUGGUAUUGAUUAGAAGUUUCUCCACCAUCUCAUCCCAAUCACAUCUCCCACUAGAUGAGGAGGAAUCACUGCAUGAUGAGGCUCCACUAAUGAUAUCUCGAGUGGAUUCUUCUUCGGAAAGUCUCAUUUGCUGUUCCGCGUUCAACCUCGUCGCUAUUUCUACCGCAUCGCUGCGUUCUCUCGCGAGGAAUUGUGUUCUCUCCAUGCUUUGAUGUGGAGGAGGAGUUGUUGCUUCUUCUCUUUGCUCCAUUAACUGGAAAUGAGUAAUUUGAGAACAUUUAGACAAGAUCCAAAGUUUAAACCAUGAGAAUUUCGUGACGAAAACAGUUGAGAUUAAUUGAGCUUCAACGAAGUGGUGAUUGAGUGACAAAUUUAAAGUACAGAAGGAAGGUGCAGCGAGGACGCUUGUGGAAGAAGUUGAGAUAAAAUUUGAAAUAGUCUCACUACUUAUAAACAGCAAUCGAAUCAGAUAAGAAAUUGCCUAUUCUUUUCCUCGGCGCCACCACAUUAGCUGCGUACUACUGCUUAGUGAUCCGCGCUCCGUCGUCUCUCGCACUUCAAUCCCCUUUGUCCAGUGAGCUGCAGGCUUUUCUUGAUUUCAAGUACUAUGUUUUUCUUUUGGAGGGUUGGAUUGAAGUAUAAGAUGAGACCAGGAUCAGAUCACUAGGCAGUACACUGGCUGGUUUGAUGCACCGUUGGCAGGUAACAAUUUCUCCAAUCAGUAAUUGUUGACACAUAGCUGACACAAAGACUAUAAACAUACUAAAGAGAUUACACUUUUUUUUUGUUUUUUUAAGGCCCCUGAUAUGAAUGAAGCAGGUUGAGACUUCAUGUCCCUACCUUUCUCUCUCUCUCACAAAAGAAGAAGAAGAAAAAGAAGAAAAUGCCCCUCAUAUUCUCUCUUUGAAAGGUCCCUAAUAUUCUCUCUCUCAAAAACAGAAAAGCUUCAAUUCUCUAAUCACAGAUAUUGUUGUCCAGUAAUUCUCAUUCAUGCUAAACGAAGUUCAUACAGAGCAAUCUGAAAGUGAGCAAUUCCUAAACAGUAUUGAGUGUAAAAGAAAGAAAAAAAAAAAUUCCACUGUGACCUUUGGAUGAUGAUAUUUUGAGAACAUACACCCUAAAAACAAAUAUGCAUCUCUGAGGAGCAUCAGUAAAAGCACUUCCCGUAUGCUGCUUCGAGUGAUAAAUUUACGACAUCAAAUAUAUUUGUGCGCGUAUGUGCACGCACCUGUUCUGGGGCUUGAGGUGGGGGUGAUUUGAACUGAGAAAGGAAGAGUUUUUGGUAUACUUACUUCCAAGGCCUUCUGUGCUUCGCGCUCUGUCCAAAUAAUCCCAUGAUCAAAUAUAGCAUUACAUGACAGCACAAUAUGCUCAAAUCUGCCUUCGACAGGAAUCGCUGUUCUCACCUCCGGUGGGAAUCUACCACAUCUGCACAAGUAAUGAACCACCACCGAAGUAUUUUGUCAUCUAAAGAAGGGAUACGAAUGUACUAUAGCAAUAAAUUGCAUAUAGGAAUCAUCCUUAUAAUCGUAACUAACAUGAAAAUUGAUUUCAUUCAGGAAAAAUCAGCAAAGUUAGAGAAUUUAUUUGAGAAAGGAAAAUGCCGGUUAAGUUGACGCAGCAUUAAGGAAAGAUUCGAUUUGACCAUCCAGUAAAUGUAUAUUCAGUUCGAAGUUGAUGUAAUAAAUCAUGUAUUAUGAGCAAGGUAAGCUGCAAAGAGAACUAAUAGGAUCGGACAGAUAAAUAAGAGAUAUAUAAAGAGAAUUUACAAUAUCUAGCAGACGAACGGAACUAGAAUACUUUUGAUAGUAAAGGAAUAGUAUUGAUCCAAGGGCUGCAAAGUUGAUAAUAAACACUAUUCAUCUACUAUCAAUAGUAUUCUAGGUGAACUCCUGGCAGAUAAUUAUAUGAAUAAAUAAUUUAUAUAAAAGUUCUGCGCUCCUGGAUGUCUUGCAUUUUACUCUUUAAACCAACUAGCUAAUACUAUCCAAAUAUUUCAGCGUAGUACUGCUAAAAGCCUGAAGCAUACCUGCAAAAUUUUCGCUCGACGAUAUGAAACAUUCUACCCGGAGCAUAAAGCCUAGUUGGGUCCUUAAGCUUUCUUUCUUCUGAUGUAAAUGUGUCUCUCAUGCAAACAAAGAACAGUAAGCAGGGCAAGCUGCGAAAAGCAAUAAAAGAUGGAUUACCAUGAUGUUGUUUUAUAAUAAUCACAUAUAUUUGAACGGAUAAACGCAAACCAAAAGAAAAUGAUAAUAUGGAGGCCCUUCGCAUAGCGGUAAAAGAUCAUAAGAUGUAGUGAUUACCAGAAGAUAGAUCCAAAAAUAUACUGCAAGGGAGUCAGAGUUCUUGGCAAGAAAUCAUCCUGGAAUUCCAUAAUUGUGUGUUAGCACACAUAAUGAUUAAGCGGCAACGUCAUAAGCAUGGAGACAACAAAGUUCACACAAUUACGACGAUACAGAGAAAGUCAAAUAUUCAAAACACAUUUAAACAUCAGGUACAUAUACUUCAAAAGGGCGGUAAUUUUACAGUAAAUAUGAUGAAAAAGAGCAAGAUGAGAAGAAAAGUGACAACUAUUAGAUCCCCUGCAAAACUGAUCCGAACGAUAGAAAAGUUAGAAACCUUAAAAACUUUAGAUGCCUAAAUUCAAGAGCUACAUGUGAAUACAAAUGAUUCAACUCAAACAUUAUGUGAUCACUUCAGACAUAAAAGUUUUGCAUGCCAAAUAUGCUGAGCACUUAAAAAGUCAAGAGUGCUAUGUGUGAAAGCUAGGGAAACUUCAAACUAUGCUUUGUUUCGAAUACAAAAAUGCAUUCCAACUAAAUCAGCAAAGCUAACAUCGAUUCUGCAGUAGAUCAUCGAAACUAACAUCGAUUACACAGGGAGGUUAAGCUAUUAACUAAAUCAGCAAUGAAUGUUUAAGCUAACAAGUUAUUCCCCCUGUGCUUUUCAAGGGAUCAUAUUAUGCAAGGAACAUAAUUGAUCUUAUAGAAAAAUGAAUGUUUUACUCCAUAAUCCGAGAGAACAAGGAAAUAUUAUUCUUUACUCUUCUUCAGAAUAGCCAUGCCAUUGUCAAUUUGUGCUUUUAGAUGAGUUUUUAGGCCCAUUUUCGCACUCUUCUGGUUCUGUUUUAACCGACAGUAUUCUUAGCAUAAUUUUUGACAAAUGACAUACUUUGAAGCUCACGCUGUAAAAGAAAGAAAAAGUAGAAACUCUAAUUUGUUUCUUAUGAUUCUACAAGUGAGAAAAACUGGAGGCAUAAAUAUAUAUUAAUAUAAUGCUUCAGCAAAUAGCAGUAGUCGGACAAUACUUUCGCAAAUAGUACAAUAUACGAAAAAAUUGAGGUAUCUGACUUGCCUGCAAAACAACAGAAUGUAUAACAUCCGCAUACUUAACCGCGAGGUCCAACGACAUGCACCGCGGCGGUGCCACUGCUAGCACCGGACCCGAUUCCUCGGGAUUCCCCCGAACCGGUCUGGGUGGUUCACAACCAGUGCCGCUGCGAGUGCUGCCACGCCCGCCCCAAGUGAGUGCCCCACCAGCACAAGUGAGUAAUCCUCCCCUCCUUCCUGGACCAGCCGGCUCAAUGUUUCGCCCUCCCUGUCGAGCAACCAAACUGCCGCCCGGAACAGACCCCGGUGUACGAACCCGCCGUCAAACGGGUGGGACCCCGGUGGGUUGUCAAGGAGAAGCCUGCAGCCAUAGUUGCAAAUCCGGCAUUCAGAUUAAAUACAGACAAAUAUUCAGUAAAAGUUCAGAAAAUCAUAAGCAAUAGUUGGGAUGAAAUUGGUUAUGAAUGUAGAAUACUAUAAAUGCAUGAAAGUAUAAAAUUAUUAUGUAAUCAUUCAUCUUUCAUCAUUUUUAAAUACAAAACACCCAAGUUUUGUUGUCAGUUAAUAGGCUAUCCAAAGUUUUCACUUAUUGUUAUUUACAGAUCAGCAAAAUACUCGGAGAAAUAUAUAUUCAAAAAGGUCAGUUAGUAGGUUAUCCAUAAGUAUCCGAUGACAACUUAUUCAGUAUGAAGUUUUUUCUGUGUAAUUGAAAAGCAGGGUUUGAUUUUUUACUUCUUGAAAGGUUUUGGCAUCUAUGAUUUUGUAAGAUAGUAUUUCUCUCCUACGAGGUGAUUUAAUUUAUUUUGAAGAAUACCUCACAAGGUUGGAUAUUAUUUCAUUCUAGACAUUUGACCAUACUCCUAACUUUACAAUCACAAUAGAAAAUUUUCUGAUCGAAUGAAAUAUCGCUAAACAACUUAUUCUAACAUCCAAACACGACUGCCGUGGAGUAUUCGGAAGAUGAGGGUGUGAUUAGAUGUCUAGAGUUGAAUAUCAUAUUUGAUUUCAAAUUAUUUUUUCAGAAUAACAUAAAUCGGUUCGUGAGUGAAAUCGUACUAAAUAAUCGUAAACGCCAGGACCUUCUAAACUGGAAAUGCGCAAGUAGUAAUUAUUGAACAACCAAAAUAAAUAAAAUAAAACAAUGACUCCAGAAUUAGGUUGUAAUAGCGGAGAGAGUUGUUAAAUUUUAUGAAACAAUCGUUAUUCUCAAAAGCGUAAACUGAUACGGAACGGUGUUUAAAUAUUCUUAUAUUUAACACAUAUUUUACUGUGCGGAUGAAGUGGACUUGAAUUAUAUGAAACACUUUUUGCUAUUGGCACGACGUGAACUUGAAUUAUAUGAAAGAAAAUUAAUAAUGGUAGGCAUUUGACGUGACUCGAACACAGGACUCUCUGCUCCGAUAUCCUGCUAAAUUUUAUAAAACGACCGUGCCUGUAGUCGGCGUUGCGGACGAGAUCAAGGCCGCGGACGGCGAGGACGAGCUCGCGCAGCCGACGCACACCGCGCACUCCACCCCGCACGACACCGACAUAUCUGUUCUCGUUCGCCGCAACAACAGUAAGAAUAAUAAUAAGAAUAGGAAUGGGCGUCUGGGGAGAGGGUAUAAUAAUAAGAAUAAUAAUAAGAAUAAUAGUAAAGGGUGGGGUUUACGAGGGGGUUGAAUGGGAGAAUCGUCAUGGAAUUUGAAUUCAAAGAAGCGGAUUACGGAUUCUGGAAGGAGGAGAGGAGGAGGACGAGGAGUAGGAGUUCAAGCAAGACAAGGAGGCGCGUAAAAAGUAUUCGGAAGAAAAGAAGCUUCCGCGGGUGAGGAUAUCCGGGAGAAUAUUUGACGAUCGAAGCUUCCUUCUUCGGAUGAUUUGGGAGACAUGUGUCGGUUGAAACUAUGAACUACUUAAAAAUUGGAGCGACCAACUGCGCAGAACGCAAGUGGCAAAGAUUUUAAGGCUUCGUUUGGUAUUGCGAAAAAAUUGCGUUACAUGCGGUGAGAAACGAUGAUAGAAAAAUAUCCCGUUUUAUUUUCGUACGUAAUAUUGCGUUCCGCAUAUUGCGAUGAGUCGGUUACAAUAUAUUUUUCGCGGUCCCACCGGAGAAUGUAGAAACAUCUCCCUAUAUACUUUUUCCUCAACUCCAUUUUAUCUAGUAGCGUUAGAUAGAUUUCGAUACCAAACUAAGCCUAAGUACUGAUGGGUGCAUCAGGUUUUAAGUUUAAAGGCUAAUUAUUUUGCAUUAUAGGUACUGCCAAGUAUAUCUUAUAAUACUAUUGAUGACAUAUCAUUAUUAUUAUUAUUAUUACACUCUAAUAAGAAAUUAAUUAUUAAACCUCAAACAUUAUUAUUAAACUUUAAGUAAAUCUUAAAUCUUUUAUAUAUAUAUAUAUAUAUAUAUAAUAUAUAUAUAUAUUAUAUAUAUAUAUAUAUAUAUAUAUAUAUACGAUGUGAGGCUACUAUACUAUCGGAAGCACGAAGCCUUCCGUGCUUCCAGCUCGUUUUCGAUAUUGCGACUUUCGAAUCGUCGAUCAGCUCCAUUAAACUUGAUCUAGAGUAUUUGGAGUACCUAGAAAUAAAUUUUUUUAUUUUCGAUAUCAUUUGCCUAGUGAUCGAAUGAGCUCAAAAUCAACAAUUUUCAAAUGGCCGUAGUGAGCCGUUUGCAAGUUUAACGGUGUAGAAAUAUCCAAAUCACGUGAAAUUUUGAUAGAAAAUUCUUUAUACUAUAUAAAACAAGAUCAAUAUCUUGAUUUAAAAUUUUAAUGUUAUAUGUAUUACAUUUUGUAAGAUUUUUAUUUUUAGGCCGUUGAUUUUGAGGCCCUCGUUCACUAAGGCAAAUGAUGAUCGUAAAAUCAUAAAAUUUAUUUUCUAGGUACUUCAAAACUCUAGACAAGUUUAAAGAGCCGAUCGACGAUUCGAAAGUGCAACAUCGAAAACGAGCUGAAAGCACGAAGGCUCCGGCUUCCAAUAGCAUAGUAGCCUCACACACUCUCUCCUCUCUCUCUCUCGUUCUCUCUCUCUCUCUCUCAUCUCUCUUAUAUAUAUAUAUAUAUAUAUAUAUAUAUAUAUAUAUAUAUAUGAGUGCGGCUAGGAUGCUUAUGGAAGCAUGGAGGGCUCCGUGCUUCUACUUUGUUUUCGAUGUUCGGAAUUUCGAAUCGACGAUCGGCUUCUUUAGACUUGAUCUAGAGUAUUUGAAGUAUCUAGAAAAUAAAUUUAGCAAUUUUUCGAUAUCAUUUGCCUAGCGAUCGAAGUGGCUCAAAAUCAACGGCUGAAAAUAAAAAUCUUACAAAAUAUGAUGAUAUGACAUUAAAAUUUUAGAUCAAAGUUAUUGAUCUUGUUUUAUAUAGUAUAAAGAAUUUUCUAUCAAAAUUUCAUGUGAUUUGGAUAUUUCUACACCGUUAAACUUGCAACCGGCUUACCACGGCCAUUAAAAUUAUUGAUUUUGAACCCCUUCGAUCACUAGGCAAAUGAUAUCGAAAAUUCACAAAAUUUAUUUUCUAGGUAUUUCAAAUACUCUAGAUCAACUCUAACAGAAUCGAUCGUCGAUUCGAAAGUCCGAACAUCGAAAACAACUUGGAAGCAUGGACGGCUCCGUGCUUCCAUAAACAUACCAGCCCACUCUAUAUAUAUAUAGUCCGGCCACUAUACUUUUAUGAGUAUUGGCUCCCUUAUACUCAUAAGUUUUUGGCCCUUAGAUUUAUUUCAUUGAUCAUUUUCAUCCGUUAGAUCAUACUAUUCAACCAACUACCCACGCAAUCCUAGGGGACCACUAUAAUUUUAAGUGGGGACCACGAUCAUCUUAACCACACAUCCCAUCAAUCAACGGUUAAAAAUUUAUGAGUAUAAGGGAGUCUAUACUCAUAAGAGUAUGGUAGCCCCAGCCAUAUAUAUAUAUAUAUAUAUAUAUAUAUAUAUAUAGAGANNNNNNNNNNNNNNNNNNNNNNNNNNNNNNNNNNNNNNNNNNNNNNNNNNNNNNNNNNNNNNNNNNNNNNNNNNNNNNNNNNNNNNNNNNNNNNNNNNNNNNNNNNNNNNNNNNNNNNNNNNNNNNNNNNNNNNNNNNNNNNNNNNNNNNNNNNNNNNNNNNNNNNNNNNNNNNNNNNNNNNNNNNNNNNNNNNNNNNNNNNNNNNNNNNNNNNNNNNNNNNNNNNNNNNNNNNNNNNNNNNNNNNNNNNNNNNNNNNNNNNNNNNNNNNNNNNNNNNNNNNNNNNNNNNNNNNNNNNNNNNNNNNNNNNNNNNNNNNNNNNNNNNNNNNNNNNNNNNNNNNNNNNNNNNNNNNNNNNNNNNNNNNNNNNNNNNNNNNNNNNNNNNNNNNNNNNNNNNNNNNNNNNNNNNNNNNNNNNNNNNNNNNNNNNNNNNNNNNNNNNNNNNNNNNNNNNNNNNNNNNNNNNNNNNNNNNNNNNNNNNNNNNNNNNNNNNNNNNNNNNNNNNNNNNNNNNNNNNNNNNNNNNNNNNNNNNNNNNNNNNNNNNNNNNNNNNNNNNNNNNNNNNNNNNNNNNNNNNNNNNNNNNNNNNNNNNNNNNNNNNNNNNNNNNNNNNNNNNNNNNNNNNNNNNNNNNNNNNNNNNNNNNNNNNNNNNNNNNNNNNNNNNNNNNNNNNNNNNNNNNNNNNNNNNNNNNNNNNNNNNNNNNNNNNNNNNNNNNNNNNNNNNNNNNNNNNNNNNNNNNNNNNNNNNNNNNNNNNNNNNNNNNNNNNNNNNNNNNNNNNNNNNNNNNNNNNNNNNNNNNNNNNNNNNNNNNNNNNNNNNNNNNNNNNNNNNNNNNNNNNNNNNNNNNNNNNNNNNNNNNNNNNNNNNNNNNNNNNNNNNNNNNNNNNNNNNNNNNNNNNNNNNNNNNNNNNNNNNNNNNNNNNNNNNNNNNNNNNNNNNNNNNNNNNNNNNNNNNNNNNNNNNNNNNNNNNNNNNNNNNNNNNNNNNNNNNNNNNNNNNNNNNNNNNNNNNNNNNNNNNNNNNNNNNNNNNNNNNNNNNNNNNNNNNNNNNNNNNNNNNNNNNNNNNNNNNNNNNNNNNNNNNNNNNNNNNNNNNNNNNNNNNNNNNNNNNNNNNNNNNNNNNNNNNNNNNNNNNNNNNNNNNNNNNNNNNNNNNNNNNNNNNNNNNNNNNNNNNNNNNNNNNNNNNNNNNNNNNNNNNNNNNNNNNNNNNNNNNNNNNNNNNNNNNNNNNNNNNNNNNNNNNNNNNNNNNNNNNNNNNNNNNNNNNNNNNNNNNNNNNNNNNNNNNNNNNNNNNNNNNNNNNNNNNNNNNNNNNNNNNNNNNNNNNNNNNNNNNNNNNNNNNNNNNNNNNNNNNNNNNNNNNNNNNNNNNNNNNNNNNNNNNNNNNNNNNNNNNNNNNNNNNNNNNNNNNNNNNNNNNNNNNNNNNNNNNNNNNNNNNNNNNNNNNNNNNNNNNNNNNNNNNNNNNNNNNNNNNNNNNNNNNNNNNNNNNNNNNNNNNNNNNNNNNNNNNNNNNNNNNNNNNNNNNNNNNNNNNNNNNNNNNNNNNNNNNNNNNNNNNNNNNNNNNNNNNNNNNNNNNNNNNNNNNNNNNNNNNNNNNNNNNNNNNNNNNNNNNNNNNNNNNNNNNNNNNNNNNNNNNNNNNNNNNNNNNNNNNNNNNNNNNNNNNNNNNNNNNNNNNNNNNNNNNNNNNNNNNNNNNNNNNNNNNNNNNNNNNNNNNNNNNNNNGGCAAAAGUUCAAAUUGCCACAUCUUCAUAAGUUUAGUCUACUUUAAAACUAUGUUUAAAAAAAUAUGAUAGAUGUUGUUAUAGUUUUAAAGACUAGCUUUUAAAAUCACGAUAUAGUGGUGAAAAAUAUUCUAAAAAUAAAAGUCGACAAUUUUUAAUAACUAAAACUUAGGAAAACUAAUGAUCCAUUUACUAUAGUUUUUAAGUGUUUUUAAUAAAAGAUCUUUGAAAUUUAUGUGAGCUAGCUCAGAUUGCCUCGGCUAACAACUAAGCUUUUAAGCUAGUCGCUUUUGCCGAGUCCAGUGAGGCACGAGGACUCUCGUGUCGCCAGGACGAUAUAUAGAUAUGAUAUAUAUUUUCGUGCAUAUAAGUUUAAACCCAGACAGCUGUCUGGGUAAAAAGCCGCCUUUUUAAUCGCGAGUAAAAAGAGAAAGGCAUGCUUUUUAAAAUUUAUAUUUUUAUUUUUAUCUUUAUCUUUGGCGUUACUUAUGCAUUCAAGAGAUAUUAUUUAAUGAUUACACUUUUAAGAUUUUUUAUUUAAAAAAAUAAAUUAAAGUUUUCAUUCAAAAGAUAUUGUCUAAUGCCCACACUUUUAAGAUAUUUUUUAUAAAAGGAUAAAAUAAAAUUUUAUAGAGAAAAUCUACAGAUAUCAACCCUUAAAAAUUAUUUAAUUUUGAACCCUUUCGAUCACUAGAUAAAUGAUAUUAAAAAAUCGCAAAAAUUAUUUUCUAGAAACUUUAAAUACGCUAGAUCAAGUCUAAUGGAGCCGAUCGUCGAUUCGAAAAUUUCAUCAUUGAAAACAGCUCGGGGGCAUGGAGGCCCAACAGUCUAUAUAUAUAUAUAUAUAUAUAUAUAUAUAUAUAUAUAUAGUUAAAGUUAUUGUAAUUUCAAUUCUACAUUUAUAGCUACCCUAUUUCCAAAAACAUUCCAACAAACGGGCCGUUAGGACAGCAACAUCUCUAGUUAAUUAGAUAAAACUUUUAAAAGAUGGGAUACAUUGACUCCAUCUAGUUAAUUAUUACUGUAUCAUUCCUUUGCCAUGAAAAGUAUCAAUUUUAUAUCUAGUCACCGUGGCGGCCGCAGAAGCAGAUUUCAAAUUUCCUAUUAAAAAAAAAAUUUUCUUUUAGACAGGUUAAAAAAAAAAAUUCAUUUUUAAAAACAAACAAUACCAAUUACCAUUUAGGUAGAAAAAGAUAAUUAAACCCUCCACUCUACCAUCAUAAAUGAAAAAAAAAAAAAAAGCUAAGAGAGAAUAUUAUCAAAAUGCCUUUUUGUGGGCGCCCAAGUUGCUGUCGUCGCCGUCGCUGCGAUCGCCGCUGACGCCACCCAAUCCAUGGCUGCCACUAUCACCGCCCAAUUAGGCGCCGCCGCUUUCGCCACUCAAAAUGCCACCGCCGAAGCCAGUUUCGAAUCCCCUCAUAAAAGAGGAAAUUUGAUAAGAGAGAGAAAAGGGAGGGGGCGAGGAUUUGAAUGUGUGAGUCCCUAAAAAAGAGAGAAGGAUUUCAAGAGAGAAAAGAAUUUAGAGAGAGGAAAGAUUUAGAGAGAGAGAGAAGGAUUUAGAGAGAAAGAGAGAGAAAAAAUAAUCCGAAGAGAAUUAGAGGAGAGAGAGAAAAGAGGGGGAGAGAGAGAGGAGAGAGGGAAGAGGGGAGUGCGACAUGUGGAGAGGGCAAAGGAGAGCGCGUCAUGUAUACUAGUGUAUUACCCGCGCGAUGCUGCGGAUAUAAAAUUAUUUUUAUAAUAAAUUAUAUAUUUUUUAAUAUUUUUAUAUAGUUUUAUAAGUCUAAUUAUUAAUUAAAUACAAAAUUAUAUAAAAAUAAUUAUGUGCAAAAUAAAUUUAUACAAUAAUUUAUUUUAUAAAAUUUAUAUGAAAAGAAUUUGAGAUAAAUCAAUCAAAAUAAUUUAAGAAAACCAAUAAAUAAAAAAAAAUUUAAAAAAAAUUAUUUAAUAAAAUUAAUUAUAUAUAUACACAUAUGCACUAUAUUUCUAAAAUUUUAGUCCUGAAAUUUAAAUUCUAUAUUUUUUUAUACAGCGAUAUUUUAUGUAAUUUAAAUUGCAUUUAUUAGGUUAGAUUUUAUUACGCGAUUUAUUACGCGUAUUAUUAGAAUUUAGAGAUUUAAAAUUUUAAAUUUUGAAAAGUUUAAAAUUUGGAAAUAAAUAUUAUAAUUUAAAAUAUAAAAUAUUAAAUUUAAAAUUUAAAACUUUAAAAUUUAAAAAUAUCAAAAUUUUAAAUUUUGUAUUAUAUAUAUGUGUGUGUGUGUGUGUGUGUAGAAGGAGAGAGAAGAGAAGGGUUGGGGGGACACGCGUUAGAGAUUUAAAAUUUUAAAUUUUGAAAAGUUUAAAAUUUAGAAAUAAAUAUUAUAAUUUAAAAUAUAAAAUAUUAAAUUUAAAAUUUAAAACUUUAAAAUUUAAAAAAAUCAAAAUUUUAAAUUUUGUAUUAUAUAUAUGUGUGUGUGUGUGUGUGUGUGUGUGUGUGUGUGUGUGUGUGUAUGUGCAUAAAAGGAGAGAGAAGAGGAGGGUUGGGGGGACACGUGUCAGUCUAAGGUCCCUCCAAACCCUCCUUUAAUGUAGUUAAAUAAAUAGAUUUGAAGGAGCUCUCAAAUUAUAAAUUGUAUAGAUAGAUUGUAUAGAUGGUUGAUAUUGAAAAUAAGUACCGAAGUGAUGAAAUGCUGAAGAAAAAAUUUGAUGCGAUGCUUGGGUUUCGGUAGAAGACUAUGCCGAAGGGCACUUCGAUUUUGAUUUUGAUUUUGAUUUUGAUGUUAUGUCUAAACACACCCACUUUGACAAGUAACAGUUGGGUUCAUUUGAAUUGAGUUUUUUGAAAUUCAAGUGGGUCUGAUAGAGAACGAAAAGUUAGGAAGCAGUUGAGAAUAGAAGGAUGGCGAAACAUGGGAGUUACUCUCACAAUCACGACUACAUGCUUAUAAAAGAACAGGGAUGCCUACAAUAAAAAGGAUUCAAACAUUAAUCCAGCUCAAAUACAUAUGGGGGUGUAAUGUAGUGUGUGCCGGGUUGGCUCAGCCCACAUUAUCUGGGCCAACACGAGUUAAGGGUCGGGCAGGAUCUUCCAAGCCUCUAAUCUAGUACAGCCCUUCGGCUUAGAAGGCUCGGGCUAGGUCGGGUUCUGGGCGGCCUCUUAACUUUUUUUAUUUUUUUAAAAAAUAUAAAAUUUUAAAACAUGAAAGAUCAAAAUAAUUAAAAAAUAACCAAUACUUUAUUUUUCUUAAAAUUUUUUUAAAUUUAUUAUUUUUUUUUUCAAAAAGUGUUUUGCCCUUGGGAGGAGGGCUUGGCAACUUGCCCUGGACUUUGUGGCAUAAGCCGUACCGCUCCCGUAGCCAAGCAGUCACUUGGCCCGUUUGACAUUCUUAGAUAUUAUAUGUCAUUAGUUUCAAACUUAUUUUUAUUUAUCUACAAUUGGUAAUACUUGUUCCUGAUAGUAACUGCCGCGAGUCUAAAACUCUCCGAAGCAUGAAUUUGUGGCUACAACCCAUCAUAGAAAACCUCGCGUACUUCUCUUCAACAUACUCCAUCACUUCCCUCUCUCUUACCAUACCAAACACAAAAUUGUUCCAAUUUUGCAUAUAGGAAUAUAUAGUCAAACGAAAUGAUAGCUAUAGGAGUAAAGCUUCAUUUUUUCUUUUUACCGUAGAGGCAAUACAAAAAUAUUACACUCUCUAUAAUAUUGUACUCCUUUUUCAUAAGGUGAAAUUCUUUUUUCGUUGUCCUUGGUCUUUUUCCUGAAAAGAAUUUUCCACAUAGAUCCUUGUAUUCUAUUUUCAUUUACUGCUUUGUGGUUUAUCUAUUUUGUGAUGGUCGUUUUUUAUUUUUGUUUGCGCACUUGUCAUCCAAAAUAUGCCACAUCCUUUGAUCAAGUGGACAUGAGCUCGAUUGGAAUUUUUUAUCAACUAAUAUCAAAGCCAAUGGUUUAAACCUUUUGAUGCUCUUCUUAGAAAUAAGAUGCAUUUAGUGGCUCUUGUAAUCAUAAUUCACAUGAAGCAAAGUACACUUGGAAGAGCAUACUUAGUUGCAUACAAUCAAAUGAGUAAGCUUUAAUUUGUUAGCUUAUUGAAAGUUUGGAGGGCAUGUGUUGAGAAGUGGCAAGAAUUAUUUGCGAUGACUCAUUGAAAGAUUAGAGAAUAUGUAUUGGAGAAGAGCCGAGAAUGAUUUGACAAUGACUCACAGUGCUUAAAGGUUGUGCGUUGAAAAUGAGCCAAAAUGGUAACACAUAAGCAGGAAUUCAAACCUCUGAUCUUUAGAAUAAAUUCCCUGCUAACAACUGUCGAUCGCUCGACCUCCCUCCCUUCUAACAUCCUACUCUAGAAAACAUGUAUUAAAUAGAUGUAUAUAAAGAGAAAAUGGUUGAUUGUGGACCUUAUUUAUUAGGUGAACGUGAGCGAAUUCCACUAGGGAUGUCAACGGGGUAUGGAUACCCGAAAUAUUAUCCGAUCCCGAACCCGAAUCCGAACGGGGCGGAUUUAUCCGAGAUAAAUGGGUAUGGAUUCGGUUAUGGGUAUUAAAAAAAAAAAACCAACAGAUAUGGAUAUGGGUAUGGAUUUUGUAUUUAUCCGACCCGAACCCGAACCCGAAUAAAUUAUAUAUAUACAUAAAUUUAUUUUUAUUUAUUUAUAUAAUAUAUAAAAUAUUUAAUAAUUUUUAUCUCUUAGAUCUUCAUUCAACGGUAUGGAUUUUUAAAACCCGUCGGGUUCGGAUCCGGAUUCGGGUUUCGGCUUUUUGGUCGAGUACGGAUAUGGAUAUGAAUUUUUAAAACCCACCGGGUUCGGGUCCGGAUACGGAUUUUAAUUUGGUUUUCGGGUUUGGGUUCGGGUUUUUAAAAAUCCGACCAAAACCCGACCCGUUGACAUCCCUAAAUUCCACAUAGAUUGGAUCAAUGUGCAGAAUUUUGAAAGAUUCAAAUCCAACCGAAAAACUUAAACUAGUAAGGGAAAAUACUUUCCACAUUAUAUACAGGUCAAACUUUCAUUUUAAAUUGAAUAUGAAAUUGAUAUUCGUAGGAAAAAAAUUCAUAAGAAAUAGUUGAUUUUAUCGUCCAUUCAAAGGCAGAACACAUGCAUCUCAGCUAUUGACUGUGCUAGUUGUUAAUUGGUGGAAGUGUGCAUGCCCAACGUUUUGAAUGAUUCAAACAAUCGGCAAUGUGCAGGGCUUUAAUUUCUUCGCACCUAAUUUGCUGAAAAUCUGCAUCCACUUGAAUUCACCACUGCAUUAAUCAAUGUCUGCUUAGACACUUUCCAUGGAUAGUAAGACCUAAGUUCUUUAUUUUUCUAAUUAUUAAUUAUUAAUAAUAAUUAAUUGUGAAUCUUUCCAAUCUAAUUAAGCACUGUUUAUAAAGUAUAAAUGCCCAUACUUUGUUUAUUUUUUUUUCAAAAAAAAUGAUACUUUCACUUGUUAAAGGACUACUACAGUGAUGUGUUCCAAACCAAACAUCAUGCUUUCACCCUACCUUUCCCCUUUGUUAAGGCUUUAUCUCCAUAAAAAGGAGGCAACCCAACUUUGGCUUUCACAUGUUGGGAGUUUUGUUUGAAUAAAAGCAUACAUCCAAAGUGGGGCAUAAGUCCACCCCGAAUGUGGGGGAUGAAGCAAACAUGACCUAAUUGUCCGGCUAGGGUUUGCGCCGACUAAAGCCCUUAAGUUAAAUUAUAUAAAACAAUUAUUUUUCUAUAAAAUAAUUAUUUCUUUCAAAAGCUCAAGCAAAAUACUUAAGUACCAGAGAAUAAUAUUUUUAAUAUUUAUAUUCAAUACUACUCCUUACACUCCUCACGUUUAGGCUUAAAGAUGCUUUGCUUCGCCGAAGACAUGAACUAAAAUUAAAUGGUCCACACUUUGACUCGUGUCUAAACUUGAGAUAAGCCCAAGACGUGAACUUAGAUUAAAUUGAAAAAAAUUAAUUAAAGUUAGAAGCUUCAUGAAAUUCGAAUUCUGAAUCUUUUGUUCUAAUAUCAUAUUAAAUUUAUAUUAAUAUUUAUAUUCACUUUAUUUGUAAUGACACUUUCGACCUCUUUGGUAUGCUUGAGUUUCCAUAAAAGCAUUAUUUUAAUUUUCCGGUUUUUAAGAAAGAAAAACUGAAGUAUACUUUUGGUCAUCAAACUAUUAUUAGGUGGGUAAAACUAUAGUUCUGAAAUUUUAAUUCGUUAUAAUUUUAUAGUAAGAACUUUUUAAAUAGUUAUAAUUAAUUCACACAGUCUAAUUUAGUUAAUUGGAGAUUGAUAUAUCCUUGAUGUGGUAUGUUAUUCAUUGCCAUAUCAUUGCCGCAUUUGCGUCACCAUAAAAUUAAUUACGAUUACGUAGAAAGUUUGAGCAAAAAUCAUAUCAAAUUAAAGUUUGGAAACCAAAGCAUCUUAGUUUGUAUAAUUUCGCAAAGAAAGUAAUAAAUUGAAUCUUCUAUUUAUAGCUUCCAUGACAAGAGUUUAGAAACAUUAAUUUUAUGUAAUAAAAAAGAUUCUACUUAUGGCUCUUCACAUUAAUUAAACAGCUCUUUUUUAAACAACAUUUCUUUAUAGCAUAUGGCUUAGCAAACUUUAACAUGAAGCAAUUCAAUUUGGAUUAUUUAACUUGUAUAUUCAAAAUUACUGAUAAUUUCUGCAUGAAAUAGUUUUUAAGGAAAACUACUAUCUUCAUCAAAUUAUCCAAAUCGAAAGCAUGCAAAUAAAUCAUGAUAACUCGAAUUGGAUCACGAAAUCAAACUCUAUGUAGUGUCCCUGGUGUUCUGCAGCCCGUUUAAUUUCAGCAUCUGAGGCUUGUCGACACGUCUGGCGAGUGUCGAAAUAAAUCGGAGUCGUUUUGGCACGAAAUGGACGCAAAACGGACUCAAUGCGACGUGAGAGUGGAACUCUGACACCGAAAUCUGUAAAAUAUAGGAUUUCAGUGUUGAGUACCAGUACCUGAGAGGAGUACCGGUAACUAAGUGGAUGGCAAAGAUAGAAGCUCUCGGGUUUGUGCGUAUUUGAUGCUGAGUACCAAUACCUGGUUGUCGAGUACCGGUACCGAGUUCGAGUACCGGUACAGCAUCGGGCGAGUACCGGUACCAAGUGUGCGAGGCUGCGGGCUGAGGGGCCGGGUACCGGUAUUGGAGUUGGGUACCGGUACCCCAGCUAGAUUUUUGAGUUGGUAAGGGGUAGUUUGGUCUUUUGAAGUGAUGUUCACCCCAAUGUUUAUCCUCAGCUUUUAUAUACUUGUAGAGAGCUCUGAAGGAAAGUUUUUGUUGCUGCUCUCUCUCUCUCUAGUUUUGGACGUUGCUCGUGGUGAAGGUCGCGGCUCAAGCUCGGAUAGAUUUCAACGUUGCUCCGGAGGGCAGUUCGAGCGCGUGGACGUCACAGUUACGCCGUUGGAGGCCGGGCGAGCGCGUGGAUUCCCUUCUUUCGACUUCUCACCGUGGUUGGACGAGCUUUUCGAGAUAGGUUGAUGUUUAUCGAAAUUGUCGGAUUUCCUCCUAAGUCUUAACAUCGUCAACAUGUUUCAUUGGUUUUAUUUCUUUUGCUAGUACUCAAAUUCAUGAAAUUUGUAUGUUAGAGUAUAAAAUCUGAAUUUGGAAUUAAGUUAGUGAUGGUAUACAUGUUAAACUUGAAAAUUGACUUAGGAGAAAACUAUUAAACCCUACACUGUCAUUUUUUGAAAAUUAUCAGUUUUAGCUUUAGCAUUUGUGGUUCUUUUGUAUUGCUGCUGUUAGUAUGCGGUGGAUACCUAGAUUAGUGUAGGUUAAGGUUAUGCUCGUGCUGGGAUGCCGAGUUCUUUUUACAAUAAUGUGUAGACUGUUUCGUACUGUCAGGUACUGUUGCGGUUGAUGGUUAAUCCAGAUUUCUGUAUCUUGCAUCAGAUUGUGCCAAGGGCACGUGAGUUUUGGUUGUUAGACCAGUUAGACCUAUUUGCAUUGACUAUAGCCUGUGAGAGCCUGAUUGAGCUCGACAGAGACACGCUUGCAUACUCGGUUGGGUCGCGCCCACGAGUGCCGCUCCUUAAUCUGGCUUCCUUGCUUUGCGUUGGUGUCGUAAUAGUCUGGUUUAGACAUUGCUCUUCGCCGGCCGCCCUCGAGACGGUGUACGGUGUAGUUUAGACAGGCGGGACGGGUGUAUCACAGUCCCUAGUGAGAUUGGGUCAAUGAGAUGCAUAUUUAUAUCUACAGAUAGCCUAUAGUGGUUAGCGAUAGUAGAGUGGCAUGUAGCUAUAGAUUUCUUUCCAGCUUUCCUUACUAUCCUUUGCACAUAUUUCUGUAGACUUAGUGGGUGAGCCGUUGAUGUCGGUGGCGAUACCCACUGAACACUACUCUGUUUUGCAGUAGUUCUAACACCCAGUUGUUGCCCCUCUUUGCAGAGCCUUCGUCUGUGGCCGCUGCCAUCACUGAUUCGGAUCGUGGAAAAGGAGUCGCGAGCUAGAUCUCUACUAGUCGUGGUGCUGUGCUAGAGGAGUACCUUCCACAAGUAAUUUUUGGGACUUUCUUGUACAUAUAGUUAUGCUGUCGGGGUACUCGCUGAAGCGAGUUUAUGUUGUGGAUAUUUUGUAUGUACAGGAACCUCUUGAGGUUAUGUUUAUUUUUUUUCCGUUUAGCAGUUCUAUAUUACUGGUUGUAUUUAUGUUGUGAUUACAAGUACAUCUAUCGCUUCGUAUACACGAAAAAUUCUUAUGUAUACGGCGGGUCUGUUGGCGUGCCCAGAAAAACAUGGUAAUCUGGGUCGUGGCACCCUAAAACUUAAAAAUAUUGAGUCAAGAAUUUACAUUUUAAUCAAAAAAUAGCAUUGCUAACCGUUUCAUUCAACGGGUGAAUAAAUUCAGCAAUAUAGUUGAGGCAACGGGCUUUGAAAAUUAUAAAAAGUAAAAGAGUCUCAUGACUUGGUCUUUUUUUUUUUUUUCGUUCGAAGGUCUAAACUUAGGGGUGAAAGUAGUUAGGAUAAACUCCAAUUGAAUCCGACACCGGAUAUAACGAAUCGUAUUUCGAAACGAAAGCCCCCCUCAGUUAAUUAUUUCGAAAUGUUUCAUCGUCUAGCCACAAUCAAGGACAAAGAGUAUCAUCAAGAUUUUGGGCCUAAAAAGAUGAGAUGAAUUACGUAUUACGAAAUACAUGUUCGGAUAUAUUUGAUGAAUCCCUACUUAUUAGAUUAUCCAUUUUUCUAGUACAAAUUUUCUAGUAGAAAAGAAUGGAGUUGGGAUCCAUACGCAUACGAAAUACUUUUGGUAUACAGAUGGUAUACAAAAUUUUCUUCUUUUCUUAAUUAUAGUAUAGUUUAUUAUAGUUAUUCCAUAUACGCCCUCCUGCUUUUUUGUUUUAUUCUAUGGGACUCGUGAUAACAAAGAAUAGGGAGUUAUAGAGAUGGGGGGAGACGGAGGGACACGGAAACGGAAGGGAAGACAGAGGGAUGGGAGUUAUAUAAAAAGAGAUGGUAAACAAGCCAUCUAAAUAAGAAAAAAAAAUUCCAAAGUAAUGACGUUGCGCCACGCCAACAAAAUUAUUGAAAAAUUAUAUAUUGUUUAUAGAUUUAAUAAUUAAAACUUUAUAGGAAUAUAAAUAUAAUUUUAAAUCGUUAUAGGAAUGCAUAUAAAAUUAUUCUUUUAGUCUAAAAUGGGUAUUAUUAUUGAAAUAAAUGAUGAUACAAAGAUUAUAGUAUCCAGGGAAUUCAUGGAUAAGGUGGAUUUGUUCUGGGCAAUAAUUUUCCUUAUUGGAGACAUUGGGGGGGACAAAUCCUGGCACUCUUUUAGUGCUCAAUCUAGAAUUCUUAAGGCUGUACUUGGCUAUCCUACAAUUUAUACAGUAAAUUUUAAGUUUCAUCUUAAAUCUAGCUGGUUUGCAGGUCAAUUUGAAUAUAAAUCGUUCAACAUAUAGGCGUGUUUGGUUCGAAGUCGGAGUCGGAAUCGGAAUCGGAAUCGGAAUCAGAAUCGGAAUCAAAAUAAGCUGGAAUCGGAAUCGAAAUGACUCAUUACCUAAUUUUGUUUGGUUCAUCACCUGAAUCGGAAUCGGAAUAAAUUAUUCCCAUUAUCGAUGUUUGGUUUAAGUGGAUAUAAAAAACGUAAUCAAAUUAAUAUACUAACAUUAUCUUUAUAAUAUAUUAAUUUAAAUUCAAAUUAAAUAUUAAAUAUUAAAAAUUUACAUCAAAAUUUUGAAAUAAUGUCAAAAUUUUAAAUCUAUUUUUUUUUAAAAAAAAAUUAAACUUUGAAGUUGAGUGAAUAAUUCAAAAUAUGAAACUAAAUUUUGAUUUAUUCAAAUUCAAACUUAAAAUUCAAUUUAAAUUUUAAUUUGAAUCCAUAAAUUUAAUUUAAGUUGAAAUAAAAUUUGAAUAAAAUUUAUUAUAAAUUAAAUAUUUAAUUUAAAUUCAAACUCAUAAGUUAGAUUCGAAAUCUUGAUUAAAUUUUAAUUUUUAAUUUAACUUCAAAUUAAAAUUUAAAAUUAUAUAUUUAUUUUUUAAAUUUUAACUCAUAUUUUAAUUAAAAAAGUUGAAAAAAUAAAUUUAAUCGAAAUAAAUAUCCAUUCUGUCCGGAUUCAACUUCCAAUCCGGCCUUCUAGGCCGGAUUGAAUAAAUAGUGAUUGGGGAUUCCAUUCCACUAGGGAAUCGGAAUCGGAAUGGGACUCCCGCGUAUAAACACCCACAAACGGAUUCACCCAUUCCGAUUCCAAUUCCAGGGUGAAAAAGAAGCGAACCAAACACGCUCAUUAGAUUAAAAUGGAUCAGAGUUCAUCUGGGGGUGCUACUAAUAGCACCAAACACUUAGGGCUUGUUUGGUUUAAGGGUGGAAUUGGAAUGAAAUAAUGGAAUGGGAAUGAAUGAAAUGGUAAUUGGAAUGGCCCACUCUUCCAAGACGUUUGGUUUAUUUGUGCAUUGGGAAUUGAAAUGAGCUAUUCACAUUUUAUUGUUUGGUUCGUAUAAACUAAAAAAUUAUAGAAUACUAUACAUACUAAUUUUACUCUCAAAUAUAAAUUUUAUUAUUAUUUGAAAUUUAUGAAAAAUAUAAUACUAUUCCUAAUAAGUUUUCAAAAAAAUAUCAAUUAUUUUAAAAAUUUUUUAUUGAUGUGGUUAGGAAUUACGUUUUUGAGAAAGAUAGAUUUUUUUUUUUUGAUGAGAAAGGGGUGAAGAGAAGGAGGGUGAGAUGGUCACAUGGGCUUCGAGAUCUUAGUGGGCUUCCGGAAUGAAAUCUUAAUCCGGACUAGAAGACCGGAAUCAAGUUGAAGGCUAAUGGGCCAUUCCCAUUCUAGUCCGGAAUAGGAAUCCCAAACCGAUUUAUGCGAAUCAAACAAAAUUAACCAGAUUUGAUCAAACCGAUUUUCAUUCCAUACCCAAAAUGGAUGAACCAAACAAACCCUUAUUGUUAUCAAGUUUUCCACUGUUAGAUUUAUUCUUUUGAUCAUUUUUAUCUAUUUGAUCAUAUUAUUCGACCAACCACCUACCUAACUCUAAAAGGUCGCUAUCAUCCUAACCACAUAUUUUUUUUUUUUUUCUAAGGACCGAAAACUGAAUAGCACCAAUGACAUGAUGCCAUUAGAAACAUUUCAGCCUAAUUCAGAGGAUCGAUCCAUUUAUAAUCCAAAUCUAAUUAAGCUAGAUACAAACUUAGUAAUUUCACGUCGAAUCAUGGACCUUGUCAAGAAUUACUAUCUCUAUGGAAAAAUCAUAGCCUCUGUCUAGAAUUCUGAAGAGUGAAUUCUGCUGGCCGUUCCAUAAUUUCUGAAUGAGAAGAAAUGUGGGAAUAAUUUGUGAAUGAGAAGAAAUCGGGGAAUAAUUUUCUGCACCUACUGCGUUCUUAAAACCUUGCAAUACUCAUAUGUUCUGUGUCCCUCCCUAUAUUAGUUAAUUCGCAAAUUAUUCACAAAUUUUUGAAGAAACGAAUUAAACGGCCGAAUUCGUAUUUUUCCGAAAAAUUCGAAAAAAAACACGUUUUUUGGUCAAAAAUACUUAUUCACGAAUAAUUCGCGAUGGCCGAAUUAUUCGGCUAAAAAUUCAGCUCGCCGCUCGCCGCUCACUGCUCGCGCCCGCUUUUGCGCUCCCCACGUGCCCGCGCACGCGCCCGCGCUCGCGGGCAGCUCGCCGCCCGGCUCACCCAAAACAGAAAACAAAAAAAAAAAAAAAAAAAAAAAAAAAAAAAAAAAUCUCUUAUGGACUAUCUUAAUCUCUUAUUUGCUUAUUUAUUUAUUUAUUUUAAGUCAUAAUAUAGUUUGCUUUUUUUUUACUUAAUUAAUUUAAUUUUGUAGCUCUUUAUUCUUAUGUUCUUAAGAAAUAUGAGUAGUUAUGCUAAUAGCAUAAAUUUUGAGAAAAAAAAAAUUUAAUUUAAUAGGCGAAUUUUUUAUCCCGAAUUUUUAAUUGGUGAACGUAAAAUAUCCAUAUAAAUCAUGUAUCCGAAUAAUUGGCGAAUCUGUUUUUUAGCCGUAUUUUUCAACGAAUUUAAAAAUUAGAAGACGAAUUUUAUUCGAAUUAUUUCCGUACCGAAUUUUUGCCAAAUCCGAAUUAACUAACUGUGGUCCAUCCUACCAAAAUACUCAUA